AGAUUACUGGUAUUUAAUUCAUGGAAUGGGUCACUGCUAGUUCCUUCAUGGAAAGGGUCAUUACUAGUUCCUUCAUCAAAUCUUUCUAUACCUCUAUACAAGUUCACUGGCUCACCAUGAUACACCUAAAAUGUGUAGGAUGGACAUAUUCCAUUCGUUAAUAAAUGUCUCUCUAUACUCUCUAAUGAGUCCAAAGUAGAGUGUAUACAUCUCUUGCAUGGACACCUUAUCCGUCUGUACUCAUCAACGUGAUACUUGGCAACUGUUAUAAAUUGGAAAACUCCCCCUCUAUAGUAAACCGAUAACUUAUCCCUAAGUUUCAUCGAAUUCUUGUCCAUCGAUAAAGACCUAGAACAUACAUACGUGACAUUAGUCUUACAUUUCUUUCUCUCAAAUGCUAAAUUUUGUCCAUGAAUAAGUCACACCUCACAAGUAUCCAAUAUCCAAACUUUCACUUUAUCUAAGUUUAAACUGAAAAAUCUAUCUAACACUUCCAACUAACCAACUAACAAGGUUUUAGUAACAAUCUAACAGUUCAAACAAAUUAUCAUAAACUAAGGGCUAAGAUAAAUCUAAAUAAAUAUAACAAUUUCAAUUUAACUUAUUCAUAUAUACAACAAUUUCAAUGUAUAAUUUAAUUAUAAUAAACAUACAUACAAACAACAAUUUCAAUUUAUAAUUUAUAAUAACCAUACAAACAAAUAACAAUUUAAAUUUAUAAUUCAUAAUAAACAUGCAUAGCUAGAGAUAACAAUAAUUAUUUAUAAUACAAAUAGAUACGAUAUACAAUUUACAAAUUAUAACAUAAAUAGAAUAUUAUACAAUUUUAAUUUAAAAAUCUACCAAUAAACACAUAUAUAAUAAUAAUUUCAAUUUCAAUAUACAUAUAUAACUUUACAAAUAUAUACAUAUACAAGUUACAAAUAUAUACAUAUACAAGUUACAGAUAUAUACAUACACAAUUUACAUAUACAACUUACAAAUAUAUUCAUAUACAAUUUACACAUACAUAAUGCACAUAUACGUAUACCAUAAACAUACAAACCCUAAACCCUACAAACCCUAACCCUAAACAUACAAUACAUAUACAUUACUACACAAUCUCUAAACCUUAAACAUACAUACAAUUUACAGUAUAUAUAUAUACAUACAAAAGUACACAAUUCCCUUAAACCUUAAACAUACAAUUCACAUACAAUAUCCAUAUAAUACACAUAUAAUAUCUAACAUAUACAAAAUAUCAUUUGUUUACCGGCUGGAGGUCAGUGGGCGCGAUGGCGGCAAGGAUGUGGCAAGGCUCUCCCUCUCCCUCUCUCUCUUUCGUCUUUUGUCUUUCCUUUUACUUUUUUGUUCUCUACCUUUCUGUGUUCAAAUGAACACAAUAAAUGAACCAAAGUUCUCACAAUGCACAACAAAAGUGUCGCGAGAACAAGCUUCUAACGAUGAAACCACUUAUGACAUCAUUAGAAGCCACUUGUCGACUAAGCUACUUAUGACAUUAACAUUUCUCCAUCAAAUCAAUUGGAAUGUCUUUCAGUCAUUCUGGCGAAAGGUGAAACCUUUAUCGAUGUGGUUGACCGCGUCGCCACUGACGUCAUCAUAGCUCUCUAAUUUUAAUAAUAUGUUACGCUUGUUGAAGCCGUUUCUACUAACGCUGUCGUUGGGGGAGAAACAUCAAUGCAGGCUUGCAUGGAAUCGUUAUAAGCUAGAAUAAUAUGUUUUAAUAUCGACUAUCAACAACGUCAUCAAGGUGCUAUGUCGUUAUUUCCCCUACUGUCGAUGCGGUGGUAACAACGCUCCCACAAAGUCAUCUAUUUUGAAGCAUUUGCCUCUAUAAGGAUAAUCUCAAAUUCUUGUAGUGAGAUUCAGAGCCAUCAAACUACAUGAUUUUUUCUUUCUCUAAUCUAUAAUUUUAAAGCAUGAUUAGCCUCAAGUAGAAAAUUUUUAAUGUAACUAUUGCCAAUGUACAAUAUUUUUAAGUUCCCCAUUAAGUUGAUCUAAGAUCUCAAUAAAAUCUUUUGAUGCCAAGGGCUUUAAUCCUUUCAAAUCCUUCACAGGUUAUUCGUAACCUCAACUAGUUUAAAAUACUGUUUUAUUCUUGAGACUACAUCUUGCUCCUUAAGUCCAUUGAUCCACUAUUAAACAAAUGGUUUAAGGUCAGUGAGAGGGUGGAGCCCCUUGUUCAAGACUUGGAUUCGACCCUUAAGAGAACAACCUAUCUACUAACCCUAAAGCGGAUAUGAGUGAAUUCUUUCUUGCACCUUAUGUUCCUAGCCUUCCAUCUGAUCUAACCCCUAAAACGGGAGGCUUAUUGGAUAAUAGUUAUUGAGUUACUGAUAACUGUAGAAAUAAAGGUUAUUGUAGCCUCUUUUAUAGAAUAAUGAGGCCAAAAUAUAGAAUAAGCGUAUCAAAAUGUGUAUAUUGUUUUAAAAACGCAUAAGUACUUAGAAAUAUACUUUACAUAAGCGUUAUGCCUAUUUUACACAAUUUUUAGUGUCUAAAUACAUAGCUAUGAACAAGAAAAGAAGAUAACAAAUUUCAAAGUCUUUCGCAAGAAGAAUAGGUGAGAAGACCAAAUCACAACGUGAGAAGCGAUUUGAAUAGACAAGAAUAGUAGUUGGAGAUGAUGUAACAUGUCACAGACAACUUUCAACGUACAGUGCUGAAAUGUUCAGAAGAAUAAAAGUUUCAGUGCCAACAACUACCUAUAAAAAGUCUCAUUCUUCACCAAAGAAAGGAGAGGCCUGCAUGGGCCAUAAAAGAGACCUGUAUGGGCCAUAUGAGAGGUCCGGAUGAAUCAAUAGGUGAAAAACCUAGAGCGAGAAAAGCGAAAAGGAUUAGCCUUUCAAUCGUUUGUAAACAUUUUCUUUUUCUUCUUCUAUCAUACUGGAAGCGAGAGCUUAGAGUCUAAGUGGUGAACGUUUUAUUUCCUAUUCUCUCUAACUUGUAUUUAUUCUCAUUCUUCUAUCUUUCAUUUUUGUAUUCUUUGUGUAAUAUUUAUAUUGUUCAUAUUGUACAAUGGUCGAAGGUCUACAUUCUCUUUAAUAUAUAUUACAUGAUUUUGCCUUUUCAAUCCAUCAUUUUUUUACUUUUCACUUGUCAAUGUGUUAUUGGUAGUUAGGUUUGUGCUAAGAUUUUGAUAGAAAAAGUGCAACUUAUAAUGCUUGUCGUGUUAGUUGAGUCAUGUUCAUUGCUUUGUGAGUGUCAAUCGCCAACUACCCGAGAGGACAAGUAGCAAGGAUAAGACUAAUGCGUGUAGGGAGAAGUUUCGACAAAAUUCUACCUUAGCGAGAUACCUCCCAUCAUUUGUAUCUUGAAAGGUUUACUAGUGUGGAUAUUAGGUGCCAAGAGGUUGCUAUCCUUAAUCGUGAAGUUCUAUAACUAUCAUAAGUGAACACUUCUGGAUACACCUCACCUAAUCAUGCUUAGUCACUGGGAUCCCGGAAGGUGAACAAGUAUGGUGUUUAAAGACUUCAAGAGAAACUCGACUUAAUCAUAAGCUAGUUUAGCUAGUUGUAUCACAUCAAGACUCUCGCAUGGCUUAAUCGCAUAAUAAUGCAUAGACUUUCCUUCAUGUCCUUCUUGCAUACAAGUUAGCAUGCAUCUCCAUUAUGUAUCCAUCUAGUCCCCCUUUACAAAUUUUCUAGGCAUACAUAAGUAGGUUUAGUCUAGUUCUAAAUCUUUUAUACUUUAUUCAUUUAAUUAUUUUAUAUUACCGAAUUGAUGAGUAGAUCCUAAAACUGAGUUUUGAUAUCAAGUCCUUGUGUUUGACUCUGGAUCAUUAAGAUAAACCUAUUUUUUCGCUUAUACUUGGGCAAUAAGUAGGAAAUUUGUAUUCGACAAGGACUUAGUGGUUACACGAUUAAGAGGUACAUAACGAGUACUUCACUUACAGUGAUCAUGACCAAUGACUUAUCACAUAGAAUUAAUUGUGCAACAUUACAAUACCACCCUAAGUCCAAACCAACACACCGAGUUGUCCUCACCUUUGUAGAUCUAAAGAUAAUUUCGUGUGAACAGAAGUUCAUAGUUACCUCAAGAUUAAGAAUAAGUUAUCUAGGUCAUCAAUAAUCGAAAUAAUAUAUUUUAUACAAUCAACGGUGUUAUAACUUAAAAGUGACUAUUUCAUGGUUCCAGUCUUAUGUAAACUCUUUACGUAGGAUGCCCCCCACUUUUAUAUCUCUACAUAGAUGAUUCAGGAUCACAUCAUUUGUACUAACUACAAGUGGGCCGCAUCCAUAGUGUCCCCAAAAUAAGACACCCAACCUUAUUCAUACACUAUAGACCAUUUGGGCUAUAUACUCAAAUUAGAUCCACGUUUAUGUCUACACUAGAUAGCAUUGAGACCUUAGUUUAUUGGAUUCAAGAUUAUAGUAUUCUAUUUUCACUAAUAAGUCCUCAAUAACCACUUAUUGAGCAUAAUAUAAUUUUGAACUACAAAUUACUAGUUUUAGGAUAUAAAUUUCAACAUAUAUAAAGGAUACCAUGACUGCAUGAUAGCUAGAACCAACCAUUUGAAAUAAAUUUAUCAAUCCUCAAUAAAAAAAAAGAAUUAGAAAUUUAAAAAAUAGGUACAUUAAGUUCAAGGUUCUCUUUGUGCUCUAGUCACCACUUUAAUCAUUUUUAUCAUUUCUUCCAUUUGUAAGGCAUGCAUCUCCCAUGUUUUUCUUUGUUCUUCAAGCAUACACCUUUUUCUUCAAUCAUAUUUUUUUGUUCUUCAAUUUGAUUUUUUGUUCGUAAAUCUGAGAUUGCGAGCUCUCAUGGCUAUUUAAUUUCUUAGGUCCAUCACCUUUCUAGCUUACAUUUCUUGAGCCACCGAACUUGACGCACUGCUACCACCCUUUCUUGACUUGGGUAGGGGCCCAAUCAAGACCUUUUCUAUAGCCCGAUUAUCUACCCAACAUUGUCUCGCAUAUGUCGUCCCUUAAGAGUGGUUGAUAACUUGUAUAAAUUCAAGUUAUUAUAACAUGUUAGUUUAGUCAAAACGAAAGACGAAUGGUCAAACGGGUAGCUUUUAGUGCAAAAUUGUAAUAUCAUGAGAAUGCAUCUUGCAUAAGUCUUAACACUUGAUAAAUGUGCUUUUAAGUGUUUUCCAUGCAGGAUGGAGUAAAGAAGAAAGGAAGCGAGGAUCGAGCAUUAACUCAAUAAGAAGAAGACUGUCAGUUCACGAGUUGAAAGGCGAGGUACAAGCACAUCACUACGCGAGAAGACAAGGAUAGUAGUUGAGAUUGAUGUAACAAAAGACGACUACUUUCUGUGCUGACACUUGUAGACAAGGACAAUUGGUAGUCCAGCCAAGGACGGAUGUGCAACAUGAACAUUUAAGUUUCCGCCUAAAGUAUGAUUAUAGAAAAAAGCCCAACUUCACCAAGAAGAAAAGAGAGAGAGGAGGUCAUCCCUUAAAAAGCCGGUAACAGAUGAGUUUUAGAGUCCUUCACCAUUUGUAGUAGUGUUCUUCCUCCAUCCUUUCUCCGAUCAAUAUCUGAGUGAGAGCUUAGAGAGAGGUUAAAGAGAGAGAAGUCCCAUUAUCAUUUCCCCUAACUUGUAAAAGAGCCAAGGAAUGCAACUCAUUGCAUGGCUUGCAUUCUGUAGCUCAAUACAUUUCUUUUCUUUCUAUCUUUGUACUUUUUGAUGUAUUGUAUGAAUAUUCUUUAUUUUAUGAUCGAAAGGCCUACAUUUAUAAUACAAUGCAUUUUUAUCUACUGUAUCCCUUCCAUUUUUUAUUACUUUCCAUUUCGUUGAUGUAUUUUAAGUAGUUUAAGUUCAUGUUAUGUACUUGAUAAAGACUCCUUAGUUAUAAGUUUUAUCAUGUUUAGUUGAGCUUAACUCAAUCACUUGAAUAGCGUUGGUCGCCAAUAGCUCGAGACAGUAAGUAGCAAGGACAUAGCUAAACAUGCGUAGAAGGGAGUUUGUACAAACUCCGUUCUAGCAUUUUGACUCCAAUAAUUUGUGUCCCAAAAGGAGAACAUGUGUGGUAUUUAGGCACCGAGAGGUUGCUCGCCUUAAGUAGAGAGCGAAAUAUGAUGCUUAUAAAUAAAGAAGCCUAGAUGUAUAUCGCUUGAUUUAUCUUUACUAUUUAUGUCCCAAAAGAAGAACAAGUGUGUUGUUUAGGCAUCAAGCGGUUGCUCACCUUAAAUAUAAGAUGCUUAAUUGAUCUGCAUCGCAUCAAGACAUGCCGUAUAACUUAGACUCCCUAGAAUACUAAGAUAUUCCUUUACCUCUUUUAAUCCAAGUUAGUUCACAUUCCAUCAUCACCCCAUUCCAUCCCCCUACAAAAUCCUCUGUGUACAUAAGUAGAUUAGUAUAGUUUCAUACUUUGAUAUUGUUUGUUGAAUGAUUAUUUAGUGCAUUGAAGUUGCUAAGAUGUCACAUUUUUUCUAAAGCUGCAUUGUUAAAAUUCUAGAGAUUAAAUGAUUUAUUUUGAUAUUGUUUGUAGAAUGAUUGAAGUUAUAUCAUGUUGAAAGCUAAAUGAUUGUAGUGAUAGCUAAGCAAUUGUUGAAGAUUAAAGACUGGGAAAUGUGUUUAUGAUUUCUUAUUUAAGUCUUGUAUUAGGAUUUUUUCCUCAUGUAUUAUUGUACAAUGUAUAUACAAACACAAUAUUAAGAUUUUAUUUUGUGUAUACAAAUGUAAAAUAAAAAUAUUGUAGUUUCUAAAAUAAUAUUAAUUUCUAAAAUAAACCCAAUGUCGAUUUAUAAAAAAUGGACAAUAAAGCAAUAAUUAAAUAAAAAUAAAUUUAUAAAAGUAUAUCAAAAAACAAGGCUUUAAUGUCGAUUUUAAAACGACAUCAAAGGCCAAAUGACACUAAAGAUCUUCGAUAACACCAUAAAAAAUGUAUGUUUAAAAACGAAAUUAAUGAGGUUUUUAAUGUCAUUUUUAAACCGACAUCAAAGCAUAAAUGACAUUAAAGGCCUUCAAUAACGCUAGCAUAGAUGUUGGUUGCCAACCGGCACUAAAUGUCAUUAAUGUCGGUUUUAAACAGACAUUAAAGGCUAGAUUUCUUCUAGUGAGGAUAUGGGUCACCAGUAAAAGGGCCAGUGAACACUUGAGGUAUGUACUUUUCAACAUUUACAGAUGAUGGAAAUGUUAUUCCUUUCCGUCACUCUUUCGGACUUGCGCCUAUUCAGGCGCCCCUUUUAUAGGUUGAUGGAGAUGACUUUAUAUAGGCAGCAAUUGGGAGGGAACUUCUAUCUUCUAAACUUGUCAACGACAGCUGCCAAAAGGUGUCUAUUACACGUCACAUCAUCUCCAACUACUGCUCUUGUCUUCUAGUGACCAUUCUUAGCAUUAUAACUUUGUUCCUUGCCUAGAGACGUUACUCGCCAGAUGAGUUCUUGGUUGUAGUCCUUGCACGAAAUGCUUCCUACGGUUCACUAGUAUCUUUCUUUAUUCAUUAUCCUGCGUUUAGACAUUAAAAUAACGUGAAACAGACAUAACAUUUAUGUGAAGUAUAUUUCCAAGUACUUAUGCGUUUACACCACAAGUUAUGCGUUCUGAUUAUCUUCUUGUGCGUUUUAACCUCAUUAUUCUAAUACAAUGAACUAUAAUAACAAGUAUUUAUAGACACUAUCAGUUGCUUAUCUAGAACUUUUGUAAACCCCAUUGGAUUAAAUGAAUUAUUAUAUUUUGUAGAUGGUUUGUAAUAUUCCUAAUUAGACCAUUCGUUAAUGCAGCUUAAAUCAAAAUUAUUGUUAUUGAAUGUUAAAUUUUCUACUUUUUACAUUAUUGUCAUGAAAAUCAAUAGAGUAAAUAAAUUGAAUCAGAGAUAUAAAAUUCGAAAAAACAUUUCAAUUUAAUAAUUGAUACAUGAUAAAAUUUAGGAUGUACAAUUCACAAAAAAAAAAAAAAAAAAAAAAAAAAACUAAACAAACUAGCUAAACUCCAAAAUGUAAAACCAACAUCCCAAGCACAGGCAUCAGAAACUCAAAUUUCCAAAUCCUACACUCUAAAGACAAGUGAUAACUUGUAGAAAUACAAGUUAUCAUGACAUUUUAGGUAGAAUAAUGGAACCAAAAAACACAUGACAAUGUGGAAAAAGCAUGGCUUAUAUCAUAAAUUCAUGAAUAUAUGUAAAUACAACUUACACAAGUCUGCACGACUGUUUUACUCUGUUUUUUCAGUGUUUUAUCAAAUGAUUAUAGAGAACAGAAUAAAGAUAUAUAGUGAAUUGUAAAGGAGCGCAUGCUAUAGAAUAAAAAACUUGUCUUGCAAUUAAACAUUUCUAGGCGAGGAACCACAUUAGCACGCGAUAAAGAUUCACUAGCAAACAAGAAUAGUAGUUGGAGCUAGAGUGACUUGGCAAGGCUACCAAGGGCCUGAUAACCGACAUCGAAAAAAUCAAAAGAAUAAUGAAAAGGUUGUAGUCGGCACCGACAUGCACAAAAAGAUUAGAAGUUUUUCAUUGCAAGUAGCCUAUAUAAAGCCUUCACCUCCAUCAAGAAAAAAAAGGUAAAACGUCUGAAAGGAUCGACCAAAGUUUGAUCUAAAUGGGCAAAAACCUAGGGAGCUCCAUUGAGCCUGUGGAAAGAACUAGCCUUUUAACCUUUUAUAAAAGUUUCCACCGUCUUCUCGGGUCAAUCUUGUAAGUGUGAGCUUAGUGAGAAAACUAGAGAAAGAUCCACCAUGUUCCUCCCCCCAACUUGUAAUACCUUUCACCUCUUUACUUUCCAUUUUUAUAUUUCAUCGUAAUGUAUAUGUGAUGUUCAUGUUGCAAAACCGAAGGCCUACAUUCUUUAAUACAUUGCAUAUGUAUCCCUUUUCAAUCUAUCACGUCUUUACUAUUCAUCUGUCAAAGUGUUAUAAGUAGUUUAGGUUUAUAAUAAGUUCUUGAUAAAGAAGUCUAACUUAUAAGGUUUAUCGAAUUAGUUGAGUGAUUCUUGAUCGCUUGGCCAGAUUUUGUCGUCAACUACUAAAGAGAGUAAGUAGCAAGGAUACAUGGACAUAGCUAAUGCACACAAGGAGGAGUUUGGAGACAAACUCUAUCUUGAUGAUUAACACCGAGAGGUUGUCAACCUUAAACGAGAGGCAAUAUAAGUUUUAUAAGUAACCACUUUUAGAUAGUCAUCGCUUAACGAAGUUUAUUAUUUGCAUCCUGAGAUGUGAGCAAGUCUGACAUUUAAGGCACUGAGAGGUGUUCGCCUUAAUUAUAAGCUAGUUAAUUAAUAUCUAUCACAUCAAGGCUUACUAUGUAACUUAGUCACUCAAAAUGCUAAGACCUUCUUUCACAUUUUCUUAACGCAAGUUAGUUCAUUCUCAUUCUUCUCACCCCUCUUACCACCUUUCACAGAAUCUCUAGUGUAGAUAGUGGGUUUAAUGCUUAGACACACAUUUAUUUUAUACUGUAUGGAUAUUGUAUACCAUCGAGAUGAAUAAGUACUCUUUAUAACUAAGAUUUGAUAUCAAUUCCAUGGUUCGACCCUGACUUACUCAGGAAAUCUAUCGUUUCGCUUACACUUGGGCAAGCGAGAUAGAAAAGCUUGUAUUCAAUGAGGAUUUAGUAACUACCGUGAGGAUAAGAGCUUGUAUAUUUUAUUGUGUAGCUCUGAUUUAGAGACAUAGGUUGCAUCUAACAUGCAAUGAUCAUGACUCAUCCCUUAAAGAGAUUUGUAAUGUGAAUUUAACCUACAUAUCCCAGUACUACAUAACUGGCAAUACUUGACGUUUGUAGUUUUGAAAUACUUGACAGUUCUAAUAAUAUAGUACACCUUUAGGCUUGACAUAGAUAGAAAGUUUAGGCUAUUGUUAAAAGUUUGGGCUAACUAUAUGUAUAUGGUUCAUUGAUAUGUAUAUAUAUAUAUAUGCAAUUUGUUAAAAUAAUUAGUUCUUUGAUGGAAAGUUUGAGUUGAUUUAGUUGUUCAAUUAAUGUGUAGUUUAGCAUAUUUGUGUACUCUCUUACUUUACUUAUGUUCGUCAUUGUUAAACUUCAAAACAUGUGCAUGAUAAAUUAUGUAGAUAUUUUAAAAUAUAUAAUUUUUCAUUUGAAUAUUAAAAAAAAACUUGACAUGGAAAGCGUGUCAAGAGUAAACAAAUUCUUGACAUUUAGAAAAUGUCAACAAAUCUUAUAUACUUGACGUUCAUAAACUGUCAACUAUAAUUAUAAAAAAGGAAAAAAAAACAUCUUAUUCUUGAUACUGGAUUACUUGACACGUAAAAAACGUCAAGUAAUCUCAUAUACUUGAUGCUUUUUACCUGUCAGAUUACUUGACCCUUUUUACCUGUAAAGUAUAAUUGUACUUGACGUCCAUUAUUCUUGACAUUGGAUUACUUGAUGUAUUGAAAAGUAUCAAGUAAACAAAUACUUGACAGGUAAUAAGCGUCAAGUAAACUCUUCUUUUGUAGUAAUGUCCCAAUUGUGCAAACCCAUGCACUAAAACUAUAAAUGAAGCUCAACACUAAAUCAUUGCACGAUACAAAACACAAAUCCAAGACAAGCAAGUUGUUAUGCAAGAUAAAUUUCACCAAACAACAUUCAUCAAAAUUCCCCUAAAUAAAUCCACAGACAUUUAAUUAAUUUUGAACUUGUGCACACCAAACAGCUCUUAGGGAUUUUAGUUUGGUGAUUUUAGACAACAAAAAUGUAGGUCUUCUAUAAACACAAAUCAAAAGAUGAUUAAUCGGCAAUUUGUAAAAAAGAAAAAGAAAAAAUUGCAAAUUUCAAAGUAAAAAUGAGCCCCAAUCACUUUUUGUACUUUAGUUUUGUGAUGUGGUUCAUAGGUCCUAUCAUGUCUCUCCACUUGGCUAUGCCAGAAAGGCAUCCAUUUAAUUCAAAACUAGGUUUCAUUUUCCUUCAUGGACCAACCAUCUCAUUUGUUUAGCUGUUUGGGUUGAUGGGCCAAAAAGUAUAUAUAUAGUAAUACUAAUAAUGCAAUGAACAUACAAGUUUAACCAAGAAAGGACAAAAGAAGAAAAAAAAAUACUACACCUUUAAAAAAAAUUAUUGAAUUCUUAGACAAAUUAAAAAUAAAAAUUGUGAUCUACCCAAUAGAAAAAAUUUUAAAGUAAGAUACUUUAUCUAAAUUAGAUAUUCGAAAUUGCUAUUUUUAAAAUUUUAUUUACAAUUUCUUAAGAAAAAGAUCUAACCCCAUAUGUUUUAUAUGUGAAUUGAUUUUGUUUUUAUUUCAAUUAAACCUUUUUAUUUAUUUAUGCUGCUAGUUAUUAUUAAUUAUUAGUAUUACUUAUUUUUUAAGAACAUUAUAUGUUACUAAUUACUAAAAUAAGGAUAAUUGUGCGAACUUUAAAGAUGACAAUUUUUUAUUUUGGAGAAUUUUCGUUCAUUUUUGUACUGUUAAUGCUUUUUAGAGCAGUUUUAGAUAUAGCAAAAUGAACCAAAAUAUUUACAAAAUAUGACAAAAGUUUAAAAUUUAUCAAGGAUAGAUAUUGAUACACCCACACCUAAAGCUUGAACGUUUAUUGUGGAAGCUUUGGAGUGAUGUAUAAAAGAAUAUAAUUUGAGACCUUCCAAUCCAAUGUAAUUAUUUGAGAUAAGUUUAUUUUUGGAAUUGAGAAACCUCUUUCUAAAAGUAUUAGACAGUUGGGUGACACGUGUCUAUAAAAGAGUGUAUGAAAUAGGGGCAUAAGAGAGAAGAGCAGAAACUUUAUUGUUGUUAGAGAGAGAGAAUUGAAGUUUUUGCAUAUAAUGUUUAAGGAAGUGAUGUGAAGUGAAGUUUAAGGCAGGUAAGGAUGCUUCAUGUUGUACAUGCAAGUCUCCUAGGAACUUUCUUGUCAUCAUAUUAAAGCAAAGCCCACACCUUGUUGCCUCUAAAAACAAUAAACCUCUAAACCAAUGUCAUCAGUCAAGCCUCUCUUUUGGAUUGUUAUAAUAAAUUCUUAAUAAUUUGAUUUCAUCUUGUGAUACACAUAAAAUUAGUAUACACCAACACAACAAUUUUAAUUUGUUUCUAUAAUCGUGUUAUUAUGUUCAACAUGUCAAUAUAUUUUCAUUAAUUCAAUGCUAGAAAUACAGUUAAAAGUCUGUGUUGUAAUGGAAUUUCACCAGACUUCUUCGUCUAAAAUAAAAUGUUUUACUAUUAUUUUGUUUUUGUUUCAACCUUUAGUUUUACUGGGUUUCCUUUUCAUUUUGAUAUAUUUUGUAAGUAUUGAGAUUCUAUUUAUUUUCAUUUUGAUAUAUUUUAUAAGUACUAGUUCUUCAAAAUGUACCUCAUGCUAGUAUUCUCUUUAUGAAACUUGCUUGAUAUAAAAUAAACAUAUCAAAAUGAAAUUUUGCUAGUAUUCUAACAAAUGCAAGAUUACCGAUACGACACAAUACAAAAGACACAUAAGGUUCUUUUAGAUCUAGGACGCACGAAUGUCACCUCAACGGUAGGUUUAUUAAGAAUAUUUACAUUCUUAAAAUAUAAUGUACGAUGGAAUGCCUUAAAUCUAUUAUAUCUAAAGAUUCAAAUGACCAAGCAUUUGUUUCUUUAUUAUGUUAUUUACAAUUUUGAUCAUAGGGUUUAGAAGAGUGAGAUAUGUAUAAACUCUCUAAUCCUAGAAGAGUAAUUGUAAUAUGAAAUUUGAUAUUUUUUUCAAAAGACAAUAAGAGAAGGAAGAAAGGAAUAAUGAAAAAGUUAUCUUCUUCUUCCUUUAGUUAUUUCAUAGUCGUAAUUGACAUUGUCUAACUUUUACUAUGAAUUGAACAAGAAGAAUACUCAUUUUAUAAUAUAUAUUAAACCAAAGGUCUCUCUUAGAGGAAUAAUUGUGACUACCUAAUUGGAAGUUCUGACGUAGCCUUCUACUAUCGUCCUAUAAAUAGCUAACCAAGUAUUUUAACUGAAAUCACACUCUGGGAACUAGUCUCAAUGGUAAGUAUGUAUCACACCUGUACUCACAACACCAUCUUCUAGCGUUAUGUUUGAGGACACGACUUGGGCAGCUUGACACCUAUAAGUGAAAUGGCAUAACGUUGCGGUCUUAAAACUUCAACUUAACUUGGAUCUUAACAACUUAGAGCCUGAAAGGCGAUAAACUUCAAUAAAACUUGAGUAAACUUAGCAAAUUUUAUGCACUCUUUAAACAAAACUUAAUACAAGUACAAGCUUAUACUUAAAUAAACACUAAAUCUAAAACUUUAGGCUCUCAACACCUCUCACAACUCUUAAAGUCGGCUUUAACACCUCAUUGCCCAACAACUUGCCUUAAUAUUCACAAUGUAGCCCUAACGCUUCACUUACCUUGGGAAAAAACUUAAAACAUGAGUUAAAUGCUCAAUGAAUGACAAUUUUAGAAAAAACACUUAGUGAAUACAAGAUCAUCCAUAAACUCAUUUUACAGGAAAGUUUUACAGUGCCUCAUCUCGCGCCAAAACAUUAAGCACCUAUUAGCCUCUACUUUUUCCUUUCAUCGGAAUAUUAAAUCAUUCUCACGGGAAGACUACUGUGACGACCUAUAUCAUCAAUAACAUCACCCUUAGAGAUUUAAAAGUUCAAUUUAUGUUGCACAAGAGGUUAGCUCGAAUGCAGACCUCGCAAUGCAUUCAACCAUCUUCUCAUUGCCAUGUAGUCCUUUCACUGCAAAGUUACCUUAACUCUUAUGUGCACAUAAUAGCUAGCUCAUGAUAGGAGUAAAGCUAAUGGUUUACUUGCAUACAAGCAACAUAAACUGAACUACUUAACUUGAAAUAUUUCAGGUUGGAAAUCAUUCAUCCAAUUGUUAUGAUUUUCAUAUAAAUAAUGAGAUUACAAUAUGUAAUACAUUUUUCAUAACAUAACACAACAUGACUUGACUGGAAAGAAACUUAGAAAAACUUAUCUAUUUCUCUUAGAAAAGUCACUCACGAAGCCUAACUUCCAUUACUAUAUCCUUUUUCUUAACGCCUAGUGGUUUAGGAACUUUUCUUUUCACCUGAUACUCUUCAAAAGGAUGCUUUAGUACUUAGAGCUUCCUUAACACUUCCUUUGAAACCACCAGUCUUAUUUAUAUUGGUCCUAAACUGGAUUAGUCAUCUUUAAAUUUUUCUUAGCCUGUCAGUUUCUAUCUAGUACUUCACACAUGUAGGUUUAAUACCUUUAUCAAGCUUAACUUUAACCUAACACGUAAGAAGUUGACUAAUUUGGAUUAAUGUUUCACCACUCUUUCCUCGCAUGUGAUUUUUCUCGGGUAGCUCCAAACAGUUCUUCUCGUGUCAUUCUGACUUGAUACGAUGCCUAGUUUUACUUUGAGUACUUUCCUUCCACGCAUCACAUCAUUAGAAAGCAUGCUUGAAUCAAAAUGUCAAACCUUUCAAAUUUCAUCAAAAUGCCUAAGCUUUAAACUUAACAUCUACAACUUUACUACUUAACCUUUAUUCUCAGAAUGUGGGUUUCUGACUAGUUUGUAUCAAACACGAGAAGCACAUGAAAUUUCUCUAGUAAAUAGUUUCCAACUCAAGGUAAUCGAUAAGGAGAUUAAGAUCGUAAUUAGUAUUGGUUGUGAAUAAAGUAAAAUUGCACGAAACGUAAAAUUUGGACGAAUUCAAUAAUUAAAAGAUCAUAGUUUGAUCUAUCAAAGUGCAAUCUAUUAAAAGCAUUUGUUCAUGGAAUUUCAUCACUAAUUGAAAUUCAUUGCCUACACCUAACCAAUUUAAUUAGUAAAGCUAACUAAUUAAAUCUCGUCCUAAUAAUCAGACUAGCCUAAUUCGAACGAAUGAAAAGCAUGUCAAUUCAAAUCAACCCAAUUUCAUUAAGAUUCAGGAAAAGCUAGGCUCAAUAAUUAACUUCCAUACGUAUGGCUAAUUACCUAGAAAGUUCAAUUCAAAGUUGAUUAGAACAACGCAGGUAAAUUGCUAGCAAGCCAAAUCUAACUUAUUGCUUUGCAUUUCCAUGCAAUUGUCAGGCAACCAAUAAGAAAAACAUACAACACUUAAAGCAAACAUCAUAAAGUCUACAAGUGUCCAUGAUAUGAAUUAAAAUCAUUAAAAAUAGAAUUAAAUCUCAAUGAGACAAUGAAUGAGUUCAGAUUCUCAGAAAUGCCAGAAAAUAGAAUGAAACCUUGGGAACCCAAGCUAGAAUUUGUAUCUUAGCCUCUCAUCCACAUGUUGGAUGAUGAUGAGGAGUUAGAGGACUUAAACUCACAAGAACAUAGAAAACUGAGGAUAACGUGUUAUGGUUGUUGGAAAUUGAAGAUAGGUCAAAUAGAGGCAAAUAUUGGCCAUUUUGUCUUACAUUGUCGUGCGUAGUGUCAUGUGGCAUCGUGGCACUACAAGGCGUAACCUAAUUUGGCCCUCCUUUCUCCACAGUUCAACCUGGUUCAUGUGGCCUUAUGUCUUCGUUUUUUUUCCUAUUUAAGCUCUAAUUUGACAUACAUCAAAUUCUGCCUUUGCUUAGCUUAUAACCUACAAAUUAGAAAAAUAGAAACAUAAAAUCAUAAAAACGAUUAUGAACUAAGCAUUUGAUAACACAUUUCAAGCUGUCAAAUUUAUUGACUAAAGGAGGUAAUAACAAUGUGUGAUACUUCAACGUCUAAAGAUUAUAGUAUCCACGUCGAUAUCAACAUUGAAAUUUUAUUUUUAUAGUAUAUUAUAUUGUUACAGAUUUUUAAAUAUUUGGAUUAAAUUAUUAUAGAUUAAUAUUGAAGAAUUGAAUCGUUUUCCUUCUAUAUCAAAGUUUAAGAUAUUUCUAUCAAUGGAAAACUAUUUAAAUCAAUAAUUAAAUUAUUUUAUUUAAAAAUUAACUAAUUAAGUUGAUCUAGAUCUUUUUCGAUGUAUGUAUUUUUUAUAUUACAUUUAAUAUAUAUAAGUAUUUUUAUGUGUUAAUGGAUGUUAAUGUUUUAACUUAGAUAGAUAAAGAGGUCUGACAACAGUAAAUUAGUAUCUAAGAGAAAAACAUAACCUAGAAGUUAAGAGAAAAUAUGCAUACUAAUGUGGAGCAGGGCAUGUAAACUUUUUUUAUGGGUAAAUAUGUAGGUCUAGAGUUUAUAACGUUGGUUAUGUAAAUUUUAGUGGAAAGUCAACUUACCCUUCUAUCAUAUAUAUUCCUUUCUUAUUUACAUGGUUAAAUGAUAUAAUUUGUCUCUCAUUAGGUUACUUUGUUUGUCUUACCUCUCUUGUAGGAUACAUCACACGAGAAACAUGGUGAUUUAAUGGACAGAGGCUCAACCUUGGUCGAGGCCGAGUAAGCUAACUUGACUUUGGUCGAUCAGUCCAACCUUUCAAAUUAGGUCAUUAUUUUGUGGGUCGUUGAAUCACGCACUACAAGUACUUUGAAUAUUCCCGAUGCAUUACAACAUCGAGAAAGAUUAAGAAAAACGUCGGAAAAAGCUUUCCCGACGUAUUCUUCAACAUCGGUAAAAUUGUGUCGGGAGACCCAUUCCCGAUGUACCAUAGAACUGUGUCGAUACUUCAUUUCUCUCGACGUUCCCCUUCCACCGACAUCGAUCAUGCAUCGAGUAGCCUCUAAGACUCUACCGACGUUCUCGUCACAUUAGGAGAAGGUGUUUCCCGAUGUUGCGUUGUGAAACUUGUCACUGAUGCCAUCUUUCAUGCGUCAGGGAUAAGGCUUUUUUCCUGACGCAUUAGCUGCAUCGAAAAUAGUAUUUAAAGUUUUUUUUUACAUUAUUAUUAUUAUUAAUUUUUUUAUUUUGUUUAAUUUUUAUUAAUUUUUUGUUUCAAUUUUAGUUUCUAUUCGAUUCUAUUUCGAUUUCGAUUUAAUUUAAAUAAAAACUAAACAACCAAAAUAGUAAAUAAUAUAUCCAAAUCGAAAUUGUAUUAUAAUUAGAUAAAUGUCACAAGAACAUACUUUCUAAUUUUUUUUAAAAAAAAGUGACAUGAAAAAGGAAAUUAAAAUAAGAAAGUCGCAGACGCCUCACGGUCCUCCCUGUGUCUGACUCAUUUCUUCAAUCUUCUUUAUCGUUUCUUCCAUUUGUUUAGACUGCAUCUCGGAGCAUCUUCUAUGCUCUUCAAUCAUGCAUCUAUUUUCUUGAAUCUCAAGUUUUUGUUGCUCAAUGAGGAUUGCAUUAGCUUGUUCGACCACUAUAGAAUGCGAACGAGUGGUCGAAGAACUGCUAGCAAGACUUUUGUGGGACUUGGGCCAGGGUCCCCAACCAAGACCUUUUGAGUAGCCUAGACGCUUACUUAAAAAGAUCUCACAAAUAUCAUCCUCAGAGAGUGGCUAAGAACCCUCUGGGAUAGGCUGGGACUGAAGUUCUAGCAUUUGACUCUGCAACAAAUAAACUUUUAUGUAAGUUAUGAAUUCCAGAAGUAUAAGUACAUAAUUUAGACAAAAUAAAGUUCAAACUAACAUACGCAUCUGUAGCCGCCUGUGACAUGAAUUCUCCACUUCGAGUGUGGGUUUCUUUGAAUAAUUUUAGUCAGUCGACUGGCAGACCUCGUUCUCCAACGAGGUCAUGUUGUUAUUGUAGAAACGACUUCAACCUACUACUAUGAUUGUAAGGCUGCUUCUGCCUAGUAGCCUUGUUUGUCUGUGAUUACUCCUCCAUGAAAAUGUUUGUUAAAAGUACACACACGCGUUAAGAAAGUUAAGUGAAAUAACAAAUACCAUUGGAAUUCGUAGGUCUCACCUGAAAUACACGACUCAUGUAGUGAUCGCAUAGGAAGUGUCAAUCUUCCAUACGUUCCACAAAUAUGUUAGGUGGGUUGGCACGUGCCUGUUUUGGGUCACUGUACCGUUUGAAAUGUUUGUGACAGUCACCCCUAAACUCUUUAAAAGAUGUGAACAUCUGAUGCUCAACAAAUCUAGUAAGUGCUUGAUUAAUGAAAUCAAGCACGAAAAAGCUCUAGAAACGAAAAACAAUUCACAGGGUAGUUUUGUUUAUAUAAUGAUGUGGAUAUCUCCAUAGAAAAACUAAUGCACUUUUGAUUUUACCUGCAAAUUGCCCUUGAUGUCCUCAAUGUAUUCUCUCCCAACAUCAACCCACUUAAAGCAACAGACUGGAAAUGUAUUUCUCAUACACACGCCAAUGGUGUUGCUGAAUCGGACAGCAUGUGGAGAUAUUGGCUUCUCCACUCCUUGAGCUAUGGUAAUUGAAAUUCUAACAUUUUUUUGAACCUACCUCUCCAACUCCAAGUUUUGAGAUAUUGACGUCUUCUAGGAGUCAGAGUAGGUUGAGACACUUCUACUACAGAAAUGAAGUCAUGUUAGAAACAAAUCGUGACUAAAAAUCUAUUCGCAAUUAACAUCAAAUUAAUUAACACUCACCUGAUGUGUCACCCACCGAGGACGUCGUCGAUCCCACGUUGUUCAAAUCGUCGACAAACUGGAAAAGUAGAGCAUUUGUAUCUUCAAAAUUACUAUUUGGGAAUGAAGACAUAGUACAUGUACACAUAUGACUCAAAAUUAAUCAAACAAAUAUGAGUACAUAAAAUUGAAUGCAUAAAAUAAUGAAAUAUGUGGAUACGUGGUUCUUUAACAUCAUUCGCCAUCACUAGAUUCAUUUGGAUGGGACAAUUGAUCAUCUUCAUCGAUUAUGAAGUUGUCAACAACGUUCGAACAAAUCGAUCUUUCAACAACUAUAGGAUCAAUGUUGUGUAUGCACAGUGUGUCAUCCUCAACUAUCUCAAUGACGUGAUAUCCGUCGUCAAUGAUUCCCACUAUAUUCAGUUGUUCAUUCUCAACAUCAUCUACUUCCGACGCAUCCCAAAUCCGUUUAUUUUGGACCAGUUGAACAACCCUCCAAUUUGGACCAUUUUUUGGGUUCUCUAUGUAAAAUACUUGGUGUCGCUAUGUCGCAAGGAUGACUGGUUUAACGGCGAACAAAAAAUGAGACGUGUUGAUUGAUUUGUACCCUAACUCCACAUGUGUUCUGUGACUUUUAUUGUUGUUUGUGUCAUACUACCUACACUUAAAUAGCCAAACAUGUCGUCCCAUGGGAUAAUGAAUGUCCAACACUUCAUCAAGUACACCUUAGAAAUUAUUGUUCUCUCCAGUGACUACCAUUACUCCACUGUUUUGAGUAGUGUGUCUAGAAUCUCGUUCUACCAUGUGAAAUCUCACUCCAUCUAUAAUGUGUCCACUGUAAGACCAAACAUCAGGUGUUGGUCCUAUCGCAAGCGAAAAUAAAUUGUUUACCCAUUCAGAAAAUGCUUGUUGGUGUCUUCUGUUAAACUCUCGAGUGUUUUGAACUUGUGGAUGUAUCAACUGCAAGUGUCUCCUAAUAAUGAAAUGUUAUAUAAUGAGGACAUAAAACAUCAACCAUAAGAUGAUCUAAGUCAAAGGAUAGAAAUGCUUACUUGUGGUACUUUGAUAUUUCACCUAUAUUGUUGAGAAUGUACCAGUGAAAUAGGCGUUUUUUUUCCUAUGAUAGAGGUCGAACGCUUGAUGGCCCUAAUGGUCUUACUUUUUGAAUGAAGACUUUGAACUCACCCAUCACCUCAACAUUCAGACUGUUAUCAUCGUUUUGUUCACCUCUAGUGAAUCACGUCUCAAUUCCACUUAGAUAUCGUGAACAAAAGGUUCCUGAUUCAUGCAUCAAAUAUGUUUCGGCUAGAUCCCUCAGGACGUGGAUAAACUUCUUUCAAUAUGAUACAUCCAACUGUAAGAAACUGGUCCAACAAUCUUGAUUUCGUAUAGUAGAUGAAUGGCAAGAUGUAUCAUCAUGCUGAAGAAGGCAGGUGGAAAUAUUCUUUCCAAUUUACAGAGUAUGACUAUAAUAUUUUCCUACAGUCUGUCCAACUCACUUACUCAUAUCGUUCUAGCGCACAAAUCACGAAAAAAGUUACACAGGUCAGUAACAGCGGUGUAUACAUUUUUUGGUAAGAAAGCUCGAGCACCAAUAGGUAGAAGUCGAUGUAGCAAAAUAUGACAACCGAGCAUUUUGAGACCUAAAAUAUUCCCUUCAUUUUCAUGCACACAUUGUGAAAUAUUAGAAACAAAACCAUUGGAAAACUUCACUGAUUUCAAGAACUUGCAAAACUCAACUCGCUCGUUACUAGUUAAUGUGUAACUCACAUGUUCCAUCACCAAUUGGUUACCAACUUCUAUGAGAUGUAAAUCCUUUCUAAUUUUCAAAUCUUGUAGGUCCAAUCGUGCAUUAGUGGUUUCUUUGGUUUUUCCUUCAAUAUUCAACAACGUAUCAACCAAGUUGUCACAAACGUUCUUCUCAAUAUGCAUUACGUCAGUUUGUGAUGUAAUAAUAAUCUCGACCAGUAAGGAAGCUUGAAGAAAAUGCUUCGCUUAGUCCAAUUAAGAGCUCUCUUUCUUCUCUUUUAAUGUAGGAUGUUUAUUAAGAACUAGAAAUUCCAAUUGAUCUACUUGUUCUAUUACUUCGUGCCUAUUCAUUUCCACUAGUGCAACCCUACGCUCUACCUUGCCGUUAUGCAGCCUAAUUGUCUUCCAAACAUGGUUCUCAGGAAGAUAACGUCGAUGUUCCAUGAAAGAUAUUUUCUUUCUUAUCCCGAAGGACGAUCUAUCUCCCAUGCAUAUAGGACAUGUCUGAUACCCUUUUUACUCCACCCCGAUAAAUCACCAUACGCUGUAAAGUCAUUUAUCGUCAACAACAAGGCUGCGUACAAUUGAAAUAAAUUAUUGCUAAGAGAAUCAUACGUACGCACCCCAAAAGUCCAUAACUGCUUAAGUUCCUCAAUUAAGGAUCUAAGGUAACCGAGAAUGAGCAAUGUCAUGAAAAAAGUUUACUCUUUCAUGCAUUUCCAAGGUUGAAAAUUGUAAGGAAUUAACACCAUAUGCCACAUAUUGUAUGAGGUACUCAUAUGACCGAACGGAUUAAAACCAUCUGAAGCUAACCCCAGACGAAUGUUCCAUGCAUCUGCAGCGAAAUUAGGGAAUUCAGAAUCAAAAUGUUUUCAUCCAUUCACAUUAGUUGGAUGUCUCAACACAUCGUCUGUUUGAACCUGUUUGUCAUGGUGCCAUCUCAUGUCAGAGGAUCCUUCUUGAGAAACAAAUAAGCAUUGUAAUCUCGGUAUCAAAAAAAAGUGAAGCAAUAAGUUAUUUUCCUCUGUUAUUAGGACUAACCUUGUACCGAGACUCACCGCAAGUUGGACAAAAUUACAAAUCCUCAAACUCCUUCCAAUACAAGAUAUAGUUGUACUUACAAGCAUGAAUAGUUUCAUAUCUCAGCCCCAAGUCACGUAAUUUUUGUUUGCCAUCGUAGAAUGAACUAGGAACAUUGGUAUCACACAUUGGGAACACACUUUUUUUUUAAGUCUAACAUCAUGUCAAAUGACUUGUUACUCCAAUCUUUUAAAACCUUUAUGUGCAUCAUCUUAACCAAAAACUUUAGGGAAGAGUUAUUUAGAACAAUUUGGGUAUAACUCACUACGAGCUUCAUUCAAUAAGUCAUGAAAUAUGUUUAAUGUUUCUUCUUCUAUAUCUACCCAAUCGGAGCUUCUAUUUUCCGUUCGCGUUCAAUUGAAGCUUAUCAAUCGUUAAGCAUAUCAAACAUUUCAUCUUCUUCAUCAAAAGGGUUACUGCUAGUUCUUUCAUUAAAAGGGUUACUGUUGGUUCAUUCAUCAAACCUUUCAAUACCUCUAUGGAAGUUUACUGGAUCUCCAUGAUACAACCAUUCUGUAUAGGAGGAGGAUAUUCUGAUGGUCAGUAGAUGUCGCUCCACACCCUCUAAUGAGUACCAAUUUGAGUUCAUACAUCUAUUACAUGGACACCUUAUUCGUCCGUAAGCAUCGACGUGGAACUUGGAUAUCUCUAAAAAUAGGGACACACCCUCUCUAUACCCAACCAAUAACUUAUUCCUAACUUUCAUCCAACUCUUGUCCAUCGCUAAAGACCUAAAACAUAAAUAUGUUUGAUCAUUAGUUUUAUAUUCCUCCCUAUCAAACCCUAAACUUAAUUACUUCAUGAAUAAGUUAUGCCAAAUCUUCCCUCUCUUUUAACUGAAGCUAAGUUCAAACUACAAAAGACUACCAUAACUGCAGGAUAGCUAGAACAAAAUAACCAAACACUCUACUAUAUCUAAUUAAUUAUAAACCAAGUUUGCACUAAAUAGAAGAGAUUAAUUGUACCCCUCAUCAUAUAAAUACAAUAAUAUUCAAUAUUUUUGUAUUUCGGCAAUACAAUUUCAUCAACUAAAUAAACAUAGAUUUGAAGGGUCGCCCCCUCCCCUCCCCCUUCCCCUCCUUUUUUUUUACACAAUAUUAAUUUCUCCAUUUUCUUAAAUAUAUUAUUUUAUGUUAUUUCUCUCAAAUUUAACUUACUUAAACUUUUCCAUUUUCUUAACAAAUUAUUCAUACAUUUGGAUUUCUUCUAAUUAUCCAUUAGUAAAUGAAAUCACAUAACAAACAUAUAUGAAAAAUUUAUAAAACAGAAAUGUGCAAGAUCGACUCCUUAAUCAAACACACAAUUCGUAAAUCCCGAACCAAAACAUAAUUCAAAAUCCUAUUCCUAAAACAAAACUAAUUCGAAACCCUAGUUGUUAAUUUAAAUCAUAAUUUAUAAUGUAAAUAAAACAAAAAUCACAUCAAACUAAUAUUUGAUAUGCGACGGCGACGAAAUGGCAGCAAGCGGUAGACACGACGGUGAUGAAUCUCCUCUUCUUCUUCUUGGUCUCCCUCUCUCUCGCUCUUCUCGGUCUCCCUCUCUCUCGUUUUUCUUUCUCUUUUAUCUUUCGAUUAUGUAAAUAAAUGGGUUUAAAGAAAAGGGAACUUCCGACGCAUCCUAAAAACGUCAGGAAUAGCACCCUAUUCCCGACGCGAUUAAUGAAUCAUCAGGAAUAAGUAAACCUUUUUUUCGACGUGUUUGACAUCAUGUCAGAGGAAGGCAAAACGGUACAAUUAAUGAUUUUUCCCUCCUCCGACACGACACUGUGGACGUUGAGAAUAGGUAACUUGUUCCCAACGUGUCUGACAUCAUGUCGGAGGAAGGAAAAAUGGUACAAUUAAUGAUAUGCUUCUUCUCCGACGCGGCACUAUGGACGUUGGGAGAACGCGUCUAUGUCUGACGUCGUAAGGGAUGCAUCAGGAAUAGAUACGCUUUUUACCAACGUGUCUGACACCACAUCGAAGAAAAUCUGACGGUAUAUUUAAUUAUCAUGGGUAGUCCAGACGUUCAUGGGUAUGCGUCUGGGAAAAUUGCGUCCCCCGACGUGCAUUGAGAUGUGUCGGGGAACGCCAGCUUCUAUCGAUGUUCAGCUUUCCAACGAUUUGUCGUGUAUCAGAAACUUUUUGAUUUAUUGUAGUGAUGUAUGGGAUGUAUGAUUAUGUGAGUUCAGCCUCAACCUUGGUCAAAGUCAACGGGGCUAACAUGACUUUAGACCAAGUAAUAAACCUUCUUCCUAGACCAUUUUGGACUACCAAAUACUCCUAUUUCGUUGUUUGAUCGAUUUUACCUUUUAAUUAGUCUAAAAUUACCUCAUAACAUACUAAUGAUUAUUAAUAAAAGAUAUUGGAGAUAUCAAUUAAUCUUAAUAUGGACACAAAAUUUUCAAUUUACAGAUGUGUGAAUGGAUAUUUUAGACAUUAUUGCUUCAAACUAGCCUAGCUACAUGAGAUAAUUACAAGACCUUCAGAAAUUUCUUUUACGUUUUAAUACAACUAGAAAAAGUUAUGCAGAGUAACCCUAGUGUAUGAUGGGCAGUGUCACUAAUUGAUAGGCGUAGGCCUCUGAUCUUUAGUCCUAUAAAUUCAGAAGGAUUUUACUUACUAAGAAUGACAUAAUGGUUGCUCAUCAAAACAUGCCUAAGAUUCAAUAGCUAUUAAACUAUACUAAAUGAAAGUAUUGAAAUAAUUUUCCAACUUAUUUUAUAAGCUAAAUUUACAAAGAAUAAUUACCCUAACGUAGGUAGUUGGUGGUUUCAUUUAUGCGCUUUACACAUUUUGAAAUUGGAUAAUAAUGGCCAUAGGUAUUUAUUUCAAUUUUCUCUAAAACUAACCAUUAGUGCCAUUUUCCUAAAAUUAUUAAUGAAAAUUAAUGUGUUCAUGAUGAAAUUGAAAGUAAUGAAAAUCAAGGUAAUUAGAAUUAAAAUCUAACUCACCAAUGUAUUGCAUACCUCAAUCUUAGUCAUCAUAAGUGGAGGUCAACUUAGUUGAGCAAUAAUCAACAUCAUUAAUUUUUAUUUUAUUCUUGAAGUAAAAGAUUUAAUGUUCAUUUCCCAUGUAAUUGUUAUACGAAAGAGAAGUAAUAUAAUUUCAUCGAAAAAGAAUGGUUCUAAUGAAAUAUUGGGUUGAUGUGGACUAAUCAAUAAUUAGGUCUAACACAAUGGUUGUACGUACAUCAUUUAAAUUUAAUAAGUAUUUUAAGGAAAAUUUGAAUGAACCUACACCAAGUAUUAUCAUUUUUUUUCUUCACAAAAGUGCUUAAUUAGGUCUUCUGUUUUUUUAAGAAAUUCAAAAUUAUUAAAACUAAUUUGCAAAAUAGUUUUUUUUUUUUUUUUCUCUUUUUUUAGUUCCACAACCUAUUGAGUAUUAAUUUGGAGUUCAAAUCAUUGGCAGUUAAUUUCUUUUAUUGAAGAUACACAUAUGUUUCAAUUGGUUGGAUGGUAGAUUUAGGAAAGAUAUUGAAUUUAACUACCUAGAUAUAUGGAAACAUUUUUGUAUAAUAUAGCUUACCAUGUAAAUCAUUAUAUUAAUUUCUUUAAUAAACACAUAAACUAAAUAUGUUUGAACACAUAUAAAAUCUAACGUGAUUGGUUUAAAAGUGUUGUCGAACAUAUUAAGUUUCAUCAAAGUAUUAUAACACAACAUUGACAUAAAAUAUGUACCAUCGACCAAUUUCCUCCCUUCCAUUAGUGUUAAACUAAGAAAACCUCGUUUUCAUUUUACUUUAUUUUAAAGUAAAAUACAAACAACUAUUUAUAUAAACUUACGAAAAUAUAAAUUUAAAGUAUAUGGAAAACCAAAAUCUAGAACACUUAUUCAAAGCUAUGCAAUUUCAACAAUCACUCUACAAAAACAUGUUUACAUGACUCUAAAAAUAUGUUAUUACCAUAUUUCGUGACUCUUUUUUAGUCAUGUAGUCACUAACCGGUUGUUGGACAUAUCGUCCAAAAUUUUUAAGAGAUUAUUGUAAUCCAUCUUCCAUCUCCCUUAACCUUAACCUCGUUGCUUUCAUGUAAUUUGUUUUACAACAAACAUAUAUAUAUAUAUAUAUAUAUAUAUAUUUUUGUAGAAAAAAGAAAAGAAAAGAAAAGAAUAAAUGUUUGAAAUAUUAAGGGGAACAUAAUAUUUAGACCUUAAAACAACAUAGUAACGAUGCUAUACAUAUAUAUAUAUAUAAACUAAAAAUGUCAUUAUUUUAUUGCAUAGGGUAUAGAGUAAAAAAUCUCUUCUUCUUUUAUUUUCCCCAGUUCAUGUGUUUUAAAGGGGCAUGGCAUCUCUAUAUAUGAUUGAAAAUAUUAAGUAGAGAGAUCAGCCUAUAAAUCCCUAUUGACAUUCAUCACUUCUCCUUUUACCCAUACUUCCUCUCUCUUUUCCUCUGAGUUUCAUUUACUUCCUCUAUCUCUCUUUAAACAAAAAAAAAAAAAAAAAAAACAUUAAUAUUUCCUUUUUCAGGCAUAAAAAUAAAAUUAAAAAAAAAAAACACACACACACACACCAAUUCUAUUAGUACUACCAUCAUACAUUUAAUAAUUUUCACACAAUAAAAUUACUCCCCUACCUCAUCUCUGUGCUAUAUCUCUUUACACCUAAAAUUAAAAUCCCCCCAUAUGCAUCUCUUCAACCCUUCUUUUUGUGGAAAAUUACCCCUAGAAACUAUAUCCCUUUUUCCACUAUUUCUUUAAAAAUAAAAAAAAACUAUUACAUCACAAAAUAUAAUUAAGUUAACUAUGUCUAGGUGGAAUCAGAAGGUGUACUAAAUUAAAACAUUUUAAUCAGAUGAACAUAUAUGUAACAUUAUCAUCAUACCCCAAUUUUAAAAUCUAAAAGUGAUGCAUUUAGUUGUCAUGUAAAAGAGUUAUGUACAAAUAGGGGAAGAGGAAAACACAAAAUACAAAAGAUUGACAAUUUCUACACCAUAAGCUAGAUAAGGAGGUGAUUCAACUUUCAAUAAAAAUUGAAAAUUUUAAAGAGUAAUUCUAAGUUAUUUUUACUUUCAUACUAAAUCAUAGUUUUUGUUUAUAGUGUGUGUAUAUGUUAUAUUGGGAUUCAUAGAUUCUUUUUUUUAAAAAAAUUAUGUUUAUGGGUAAUUAUAAAAAUAUACAUGUUAGAUAUGAAUUAUUGAUAAUUUUGAAUUUUAUGAAAGAUAGAAACCGAUAAACUUUUAUCAUUGUCUAUCAAUGUCACUUAUAGAAACACUAUCAAUAUUUAUUAUUGAUAAAAUCUGAAACUUUGUUAUAUGUCGUAAAUAUUUUGUCAUAUUUACUGUUUUUGACAAUUUUCUUAUAAAUUAAUCAUAAUUAAUAUCAAACGUAUUUUAAUCCCUUUUUGUUUAAUUAGUUAAAGACCUUAUGUCACUAGAUUGUUAAAAGAAUUAAUACUUUAAAUAUUUAAUAGUAUUUUUAAAAGGGUUAAAAUAACGUUCAUCAUACAUAAAAAUUAGUCUUAAAUGUAACUUCAAUUACUCAAAUAUAGAUAAAUAUUUCAUUCCAGAUUUCAUAUAUCAUCAAAAAUAAUUUUGAAUAAUUAUUAAAUACGUGUUUGAGGGUAAUAAUAAAAAUGUCAAAAGGUAUGGUGAAGCAUUUCAAAAUCAUGACUUUCCAAACAUGUUAUAUGAUAGAUGUAGAUGGAUGAGAUUUCAAAUUAUAUCCCUCUUGUUGGUUUGGUUUGUUUUUAGGGAUUAAUAUCAUAACGAAACCCUAGUAAUUUAGAGGGAAAAUAAAAGGUUAAUAUGGAUGUUUUGUUGAAGAAUCUUCCUUAAAUUUGUAGCCAUGGUAAGUGACAAUCUCCCACGUUUAAGGGCCCCAUUCCCUUUUUACUCUCACACCCAUAGCCACCCACUUUUGUCCUCUCUCUCUCUCUCUCUCUUUCUCCUUCCCUUUGAUCUCUUUCUCAAAUAUCUCAACUAUUUUUACCAGAAGAAAUAAGAUCAUCAACAUACAAAAAAGAAAAAUUUGAGAAGAAGUAGACGAAAUACUAACCCUUAUUGCCCUUAUUGAUCUUCCAAUACUGCAUGACCUUCAACCUCUCUCACACUCCAUCUUCAUAUCUCUCUCCCUUUUGAAUAUCAACCCCUAAACCUAAAAAUCGAUCACAAUUAUAUUUUCAAACCAAGGAAGAAGGAAAAUGAUGAAAGAUCUUUAAUGGGUAGCAGAGUUCUUUGAGAGUUUCAUUUCACAUUUCCAAAAUCCUAAAGGAAAGAAGAAAAUGGGAUCUUCAAACUAUAAUCUCAACCCUUUUCAUUGUUUUCCUUCUUCUACUUCUUCCACUACUAAUUCCUACAAUCUCCCUCCCUCCAUUCCUUCACUUCUCAACUCUGACCCUUCAUCCAGCAACACUUCGACUAUCAACUUCCAUCACCAACCCCAUCAAGAUCCACUCUCAUUUCUAGCUCCCUAUUUUCCCAUUGCUCAUUUCUCCGCGUUGGCACCUCCCGAAACGGCCGUGAUCAAUUUUGCAGUAGCAGGGAACAACAUUCAAGCUCUCGGUGAUAUGGUUAUCCCGAGCGCUCCUGGAGCAGGGACAACGGGGAUGGGGAAGAAGGAUCGGCAUAGCAAGAUUUAUACAGCUCAGGGUUUGCGCGAUCGAAGAGUGAGAUUGUCCAUUGAUAUAGCUCGCAAGUUCUUUGAUUUGCAAGACAUGUUAGGGUACGAUAAAGCAAGCAAAACCCUAGAGUGGCUUUUUAGCAAAUCCAAAAAAGCAAUUAAAGAGCUUUCAAGGACCAAGAGUGGAAAUCUUGGGGUUCAUGGAGGGGCUAAAAAAUUUUCUUUGGUAGCUGAUUCUUCUGAUGUUGAAGAAGAAUAUGAUGAUGAUAAAGAAGGAUGGGAGCUGAAGAUGAAAUCAAUGUUGAGCAUUGAUGAACAAGAGAAAGUGAGUAAAGAGAAAGUUGAAGGUUUUAAUCUUCUUGCUAAAGAAUCAAGAGCCAAAGCCAGAGCAAGAGCCAGAGAGAGAACCAUGGAGAAGAAGCAAGUUGACAACAGGAAAGUUUACGGUCAUCAGAAGGGCGGCGCCCAAGAAGUUUCGAAUCAUUGGAGUAAGCAUUUGAAUCAUAGCACUGAAACUUCAAAUCUGUCAAUGGAGGAAUCCUCGUUCAUUAACAAGAGAAAGAUCAUUUAUUCUAAGAAGUUCAUCAACCACGACAACUACAGUGAUAAAUCGCGUCGAGAUGACGAGAAUGCCGAAACCUCUCAACGGAAGCUUUUGGAUCAGAUGAAGGCUUCAAAGAGGAAAUGGAAACCUUCCAUUAUUUCUGGUUCUUCUCAAAGAAAUUUUCUCAUCUCCAUUGACGGUAUUCCCAUUAACUUAACUCAAAAUUUGGAUACCAAUAGCAACCCCAAUUAUCCUAUUGCCAAGUAAAAUUUUAUUAACAGGUAAUUUCAACCAUCAAAGGCUUUAGAUUUUUUAUUUUUUCCCCCUAAAAAAUUGAUGAAUAUUUUGUUUUUGUGUUUCGGUUUCUUUUUUUUUUUCUUUUCUUUUUUUUUUCUUUUUUGGCAGUUUUACAAAUCAAGGGUGGAAUGCAGUCAACAAUGUCAAAACGUGGCCUGUUUUAGAUUGGUUUUUCUUCAACUACUACUUGAAUGUUCUUUUAGAUUUAUGAUAUUAUAACAAUUAAAGACUGAUGAUUAAGUUUUUUCUUGCUUUAUUAUAAUCACUAAAUCAUGUUCGAUCCAUUAUAUCAUUUUUCUUUAGUAUAUCCAAAUAUAUAUUGUGUCUUUGUCUCAUGGAUAUUCUUCAAAUAAUAUUAAUUUAUAGUUUUGGCUGCCAAAUUGAGAGUUGGAUUUUUUGUGAAUAUCGAUGCUACAUUGCUAUUGGCGAUUGACAUACAUGUGAAUGUUAGGCAUGUAUGAUAUUAAUUUUCGAAUGUCUAAAAUCACUCCUGCUAAAACAUCAUUCAUAGCAUUAUAAUGCUUUUUUAAGUUUAAAACCAAAUAGUAAAUUGUUUCGGAAUGAUAUUGUUUCAGAGUAAUUGUACUAAUUUUAAUUAAAAUCAUUUCCAAACCUUUCCUUUUUUAAGAUCUUUCGAUAGAUUUGGUCUUCAUACAUAUGAGUUUACCAAUCAUAUGUAAUAGUUUAAGGUUUAAUGGUGAUUUAAAUAAUAUCAUAUAUAUUAUGAGGAGAGAUCCCCAAUCAGCUCACAAAUGUGGGAAGAUAUCAUAUAUUUGGUUCUCUUAAUUGUACUAGAUCUACGGUUUUUGUAACUAUGAUAUCACUAUCAUCAUUUAAAAUAGGAAGGAUUUUUCUCUAAUUUUCUGCCUAUUUUGUUCUUCAUUGUUCGUAAUAGCAUGUCCUCUCUUGCAUUUUUCCUCACAUGGCAAUAAAUCUCUUCUUUAUCGGCUUGAAAUCUAAUGAAUAUGCUAUGAAGUGUUAAUUUAAUUAGUUUGAGAUGUUAUGGUAUCGAUUACAAAAUCUCUUUCGUCUUUUGGCGAUUUGUUAAAAGAUAGGAUGGGAGAGGCCUGUAUGUUUUAAUUUUUUGUUUUUAUUUUUUUAACUUAUGAGUUAUAAUUUAGAAAGGUAUUAUUUGAAUGGGAUGGAGCUUAUGAUUAUCAAAUCAAACUUUAAUUUCAACUCUAGCUAAGUAAUGAUUUAUUCAUUAAUUGCUUCUAGAAUUUUGUGCUAUUGCUUUAGAGUAUUGAUUUGUUGUCUUCUAGUCCACACGAUGGAUUAUAACUCAUUGAUUGUCGCUCUUUACAUGAUUACAGAACUGCUUUAUUUAUGUAACCCUUUUCGAAUUUCCUUUUACAUACGUAGUAAAGUAUAUUGGUUUACUAAAAGAUUAGGAUAAUGAUACAUUUAAAUACUGAUGCAGUAAAAUGCUUCAAAAUAGGCGUUUUCAAAUACAUAAUACAAAUAAAUUAAAGACAGAAUAGUUUAUUAUAAGAAAUUAAUUAUAAAAGUGGGUUGAUCAUAUCAUGGAGAAUACAAAGUAAAAUAAGAAAAGCUCUCUCAAAAAGCUUUUGUAAAGAUGUUUGAAAAUGAAAGUAAAAGUGAACAUAACUGACUCUGUGGGAAACAAAAUAUGAUUGACAUGAAGCAUUAGCAACCCUAGCCAUCCCCCUUUUUUUUGUUUGUAGUUUUACAAUAUUUAUCCACUAAAAUUUUGUUUAGUUUUUACACCAAAAAAAUAUCAUAUAUUGGAUUACUAGUCUGUUAAAUAUGAUAUAGUAUGCAAUAUAAAGAAUUAUACAGUGGGUUAAACUACUUACAUAUGCACAAUUAGAAAUGAGGUUUAAUUGGACAACUUUUUAAAUUUUAGUUUGAUUUUUAGACAUGAAACCUGAGUCAUUUUUCCAAACUACACAACUGCAAAUGGUAUAUAACCAAACUUAAAUUAGUUUACUUAGCUUGAGUAAGCACUUGGUAAAAUUGAUGGAGUCAAAAUUUGAAUAAAAAGACAUGGCGAUUGAACUUUCUUUUUAAUUGUCCUAUGUUAACGUAGUGAAUGUGUGGAUUUGGACUUUUAGGACAUGUGCAUUAACAAUAGUUUGACUCAUGGAAAAGAGUUGAGAUCAAACACUUUCACAUGUGUUAUUAAAAACCAUAAUUAAAUUAAUCAUUUUGUACAUCUUUUGUAUGGUAAUUAAAAGAGGGUAGAGUAAAUCUACGUUAAAAGUAUCGUUUGGACUCAUCUACUUUUAAGUUUUAUUUUACUUUAGAACAUAUGCAUUCAAACAUUCAAAUUCUUAAUCCACUUCAAAUAAAAUGAGUCCUUACUAAGUUAAUUUUUUAAAAAACUCAAAAUAUAAUUUUAACAUAAGCAAAAUGUUACAAUGUAAACAUGUUUUUCUCAAAAUUUAUAAAGAGAAAUGGUAAUAAAAUGGAUAUUGGGUAGGAGUUUGUUAGAGGACUAGGAAUAGUGUAUGUGUUCAAAAUCUAUAUUGACAACCUUUUUAAUUAAGAUUUGAUAUAUAUAUAUAGUAUGAGUUUUUCUCACAACCAAAUAUUAUAAGUUAGUAUAAUAGAAGUAGUAAGUAGUAAAAUUUUAAGAAGAGAGAGAGAGAGAGAUGAAUGAUAUAAAAGAUGAUUAGUAGAGAAUAAAUAAAGAUGAUGAUUAGAGAAAGUGAGAAAUAGAUAAAUGGAAUAUAAAGAAGAAGAAAGAAAAGAGUGAUCUGAAUGGAUUAGAGAGAGGUAGGGGUAUAGGGAGAGGAAUAGAGGUAAUGUGGCCAUUCAAAUUUCCGUAUUCUGUUUUGCUAAAAAGUCCUUUCAACCCACACCCCACACCCCACACCCCACCCCCCCAUUUUAAAGCAAAUAUAUAAUAUAUUCCCACAUACGUACCUCUUCAAUCGCUUCCAAAUUUGCAAUCCCUCUACCCCUACCUUUCAAAUAAUAUUCACCCCACCCAUUGCAUCAUAAUUCAACUACCAUCAAUUUUUACUCACACAAUUUUCAUACCAAUUUUCUUUAUUUGUAUUUUGAAAAGAAAAAUAUAUUUUUUUUAAAAAAAAAGAAUGAACGACAAUAACGUGAGUUAUCAAUUUAAUUUCAUGAGAAAAUUUAAUUUUCAUCUUAUCCAAUUUUCUAAUUUUAUUGAAUCACAUGUUCAAAUUAGGGUUGUGUAAUAGUUGGAAGAUUAGAUUUUAUAUUAUCAUGUGAGAAAAUUAUUUUUAUCAUUGAUUUCAUAUUAUAAUAGGCUAAAAUUAAAUAACUUUUAGAUUUUUAGUUGCUUUAUCCAUGAAGAGGUUAUAUGAAAAUGAAUUUAAAUGUUGAUUGCAUUUUUAAAUAGAUAAAAGAUUUAAGAGUGUGUUUGAGGCUUCAACUUAAAAUGGAUUGAGUAGUCCGUAACAGCACCCUUCAAGCUUUUGGAGUGUGUUAUGAAAAUGGAGAAAAUAAUGUUAUUUUGAAUCGUUUUAGUAUGGUUUGUGAUUCUGAUGGUCGUUCUUGUUCGACGUUACUAUGCUUUGCUACAUGGUUUGUUUUAUUAAUCAAAGGGGAAGAUUGUUAAAUUUUUCUGUCUUGGAUUAUAUUAGCAACAAUAUGUUCUAUGACACUGUUACAUGCUGGGCAGUGGGUUUUGUAGGAUAUUUUUUUUCCUUAAUUUAUCAGCGUGACUUUGCAACUUUCAUGGUUUGUUUUUAUUGUUUACAGAGAUGAUUUAUUCCUUCCUUGAAUAUCUUUCCAAACCUCUAGCCAUAUAUAGUGUGUGGUCUUUAAUUUUAGGGUUAGUGGCCUUUUAUUUACAAAAAAGAAAAAUGUGCACUUAGGGUUUCAAGCUUAGGGAUUAUUGUGUGAGCCCCAACAUUCAUUUUUGUAAUAAAACCUUUUUGUUUUUUUCUUUUGGAAUUGUUUCAACAGAAUUUGGUUACUGAUCCUUCUGUCUCACUGUAUUUUUAGUGUUAGUUCUUUGAUAUUACUCUAUUUGUAUAGUUGGUUAUCUGGUUACCAACAUCAAGCUUAUCUACUUUAAUUAUUUCAACUAAUCUAAUUAAAACCACUACAAACAACAAAUUAGCCUAUAGGAAGAAUAAACACUAAUCUUAUAUACAUAGAAUGACCCAGACAAAAUGGAGUGAACAGAUACCCAAUUAUGAAUUGUUUGGAUUCUAACCGUAAUUGUUUGACUAAAUAAAGAAAAACAUAUACAUAGAGCAUAUAAAGGGAAAAAAAGAAAGAAAAAAAGCAAAUCCACCGAUGGUAUUUUCUUUCACGGACUCCCAGGAAACAAACAGAAAAUUGGAGCAGUAGGAAUCAGACAAUGGUCGUAUAUAUCCAUCCCUUAUUAUAAUUAUACCUUUUCAUACGAUGUCUUAUUCUCUCAAAUUCCAUUUAUAUUCAUGUUAUUCACCAAACCCCCUUCCUCUGAAAACAAAUUUAAUUGAGGACUAUCUUCAAUAACAAAUAAGUAAAAUAAUACUAAUACUAUGGUUCAAUGAUAUCAAACCAUGCAGACAUGUAAAAGCAACAUAAUAUGUGCCCUAUCUAAUUUUUUUCCAUAUAUCAGCCCUCAUAUAUAUAUGUGUGUGUGUGUGUGUUAAAUUAUAAUUUUGAGUUUUUCUUAAGUAGGAACCAUACACGAGACCCACUAUUUUAUGUAAGAGUCUCAUUAAGAAUAAUAUGAAGAUGUUAUAUGGAACAUAUUUAUUAAUCAAAAGAACGACUUGAAGAAGAUGUAUAAAAGGUGCAAUAGUAUACGUGGUUUUGUUGUCCACUCAAGAGUUAGUGAUAAAAAUGCUUACAAUUAACAAAGUUUUCGACAACCAAUUAUUAUGGAAGAUAUCAAUAUUAAGAUUAGGUUGGUUGUUAUCUUAGUUUUUUAAAUCAAUCCGUGGGUUUUGUAUACUGAUGAGAUGUUUCUAAAUAUUAACAUCUUUUUACUUUUAGAUGGGAUCAGUUUGAUAAUGAUAGAUUUUGAGUUUUAAAUUAAUUGUGUUAAGCAAUUUUGUAAAUUUAAAGUAAACGUCGAGAAUUGAACAUAAAAUAUAAACAAAAUUAAGUUUGUGUAAUUAAUACUAAAACAAAAUUGAAAUAAUGAAGGUCUGACACAAAAUCAUUAUCUUUCUCUUUCUUUCAACUCAGAGAGACUUUAUCUUUCUCUCCAUUAAAUGUAAGUCAAAGUGCAGAAGCUAUAUAUAUAUAGUGUAGUGAUUAAAAAUAGGAAAUGGAAUAUAUAUAUAUAUGUAUGUAUAUGUUUUAUUAUUUCUCAGGUUUCUUUUCCUAUAUAUAUAGGGAAUUGGGGCAGGGUUUAAUUUUAGGGAGUUGGAGCAUAAUUUUCUAAAAAAAUGGUUUCUUAUAUAUCUAUGUUCUCCAGGUGUGGUCAUGAAAGACAUCAGCAAAAUUUAAAAUCAUAGCAGUACCACCUUCACAUAUUUAAAAUCAUAGCAGUAGCUCUACUCUGGCAAAAAAAAAAAAUAAAUUUUAAAAAAUAUUUAAAACAUAUAACAAAAUUUGAGAUUAUAUCAAUAAUAGACAUUGAUAUGUAAUAAUAUCUUAGAGAGUAGUAGAAACCUAUCAAUUUCUAUCAAUCUAAAAUUUUGCUAUAAUUUAUAAAUAAUUAAAUUUAUUUUAUUAUUUUUAAAAAUAUCCCUAUAUAACAAUUUAUACAUAUUUUGUUUUAGUCUAAAAUAUAAAAGAUAUCUUUAAACUUUGUAUCUUGUGUCGUGUUAAAAUUAAUUGUAAAUUUUCAAAAGUUUAAAAAAUGUUUUUAAGCUUUUAGUUUUAGGGUUUUUAGUCAUAAAUUUGUGUUAGAGGAUUUCGACCAUCCUAUCUAAAAUUUAUGUUGAAAUUUUGUAAAUAAAUAUCACAAUUGUUACUUUAUAAGAAAAUAAAACGAUGAAAAUUGAGAUUUUAAUUUAAGAGUGUAAAGACAAAAAUUAACCAAAAUUAAAAUGACAAAAAGUAAGUAUUUUUAAAAUACUAAAACAAAAAUAUUGAAGUAAAAUUUGAAGUUGAAAUCAUUUAAUUAGACCUCACAAUUGGAUAAAUAAAUGCCUCCUGCCUACUGUCUAGCAACAAAUAUAUAUAUAUAUAUAUAGAUAUAUAUCUAUAUAUAUAUAUUAUAUAAUAGUUAAAGUUAAAGUUAUAAUUGAAACCAAAAUAAUGAAAAUGAAAAUAAACAAUUCACAAUUAUUUACCUAAUUCAUUCUUACUAUUAUUUUAAACUAAAACUUUAAUUAUAAUAACAAAUUUUUUACUCACCAUUUACUAUCUUCUCCGUCAAUCUCAAAACAAAAAUCACUCCAACUAAUCUCCAACAUUACCUGGAAAUGAUUUUAUAAUGCAAAAUAAUUUUGACAAUUAGAAAAAUAAUGUGAUUUUAACUAUCUCAAAAUGAUCACUUCCAAAACACUUUGUUUAGGUUCCUCCUAAGUUAGAGUUAGAGAACUUUUUCUCAACUAAUGAUGAAGUAUUAGGCUCCCCUCAACACCAAAGAACAAUCUUCUCAUGAAGCUCAUACUUCAACAACGAUCACAAGUACAAGUUUAAGAUCAACAAUAUUACUGAUUCUAAAUUAUAUUCACCGGUACACAUCUAUCCACCUCAAAAUAAAACUCUUCAAACAAAACACUAAAGCAAAAGCCUGCUCUUGAAAAAAUAAACAGCAAAAAAAGUAUAUAAUUAUAUACUCCAUUCAAAUAUGAAUAAUGACAAAAACCAACAAAAACACAACACCAAAACAGUGAUGUAUAAAUUUAAGAGAAGGUGAGGUGUAAUAUAAAAAAGAAUAUAUCAUAAACCUAAAUUCCUUAAAAUAAACAUCUCAUAAACCUAAACACAUGAGACAUUUUCAGGACCCUUCUCCAUUUUUCUCUUGCUCUCUUUCAUCUUCAAGUCUUAAGCCAUUUUUCGGUCUAAUUUAAGUUAAAGAUAAACCAGAACAUCAAUUGCAAACAUAAGUACAUCCAAAUAUUUAUUUGUUUUCAUUUAAAAUUAAUUUUAUUUUAAUAUAUUAUUUUAUAUAUCUUUUAUGACAACAAAUAACUGUCGCGAAAAGUGUUAUUCGAAAAAUUAUGUUUUCUUGUCAAAAACGUAGAUUUUUACCUUUUGUGACAGUUUUUUUCCUCCUUUUAAUUUUGAAAUGUACACAACUGUCGUAAUAGAUAGUUUGUGUUAUAGUGAAAGAAUGUAGGCUUUAAUCUAUAGUACAAUAUGAACAACAUAUAUUACAAAAAAAUGCAAAAAUGGAAGGAACGAAUAGUGGAUUGAAAUACAAGUUAGGGGAAAAUAGGGUAUGACUCUUCUCAUUUCAAAAUCUAAGCUUUCGCGUUACACUCUUAUAAAAAAAGAUGAGGUAUUGUACAUCUAAUGGCUAGGCUAUUUCUUGCCACUAACUCUCUAGGUUUUUACCGCACAGAGCCUAUUUUUGGUCCAUGAAGGCCUCUCUUGUGUGUGUGUGCGGUCCAUUCAGACCUCCUCUACUUGGUGAAGAUGAAGUGCUUUUAUAGGCAGUUUAGGCAAGAAGCCUCUCUUCUUUUAAUCUUGUCAGCGCCAUCUUCGGUCCUAUGAAGUCACAUCACUCCAACUACCAUCAUUGUUUUGUAGUGAGUGUUUCUCACAUGAUAAAAUGGUUCCUCGCCUAGAGGUGUUAAUUGAUAGGUGAGCUUCCAUCGUGUGAUCUAUGCACGAGGUGGCUUUUGUUGUUUGCUCCUUUCUUCUUGUUUACUUAUCAUGCAUUUAAACAUGAUAAUCGUGUAAAACAGGCAAGAUGCUUAUGUAAGUUGUAUUUUUAAAUACUUACGUGUUUACAACAUAAGUUACACGUUUUGAUCAUCUUCUUAUGCGUUUUGACCUUAUUAUUCAAAUAAAAUGGGCUAUAACAAUGGACAUUUAUGCGUAUUAUCACACAACAAGAAUAAGGCAUCCCACACCAGAACACACAGCAAGUGUGAGGCAUUACGUCGCAUAGGGUACAAAAGAUCAUUUCAUUUCGAACUUUAUCAAAUCUCAUGUAUUCUCCAUAAUACAUCAUUUCACCACAUCAUUCCAGCUCAUAGUAAGUCCAAUUCAUUUAUAAGUCAUAUGCAGUUUAAUAAUUGGAAAGCAUAAGAGAAAUCAUAUAGUUUAUGGUCUCAACAGAAAUAUAUUUAAGGAUUCAAACAUAUUUUAGAAAUCCUUUUCAUUUUGAAAACAUUUUAUUAGAAGAACCACUCACACACAACAGUCAAGUAGCUUUUUCCCCAGCUCCUAAGCCAAGAAUUACCUUGCAACUUCUUGUCGAUAUUCAAGCUUUCGAGAAUUUUUUAAAUCUUGGAAUUUUUCUCAAUUCUUUCUUAACUCAACACAUGAUAAAAGCAGCUUCAAAAUGGUCGGGCUUCAUCUAUUUAUAGGCCUCUUCGGUGACAUUUUUCAUAUAGAAAUGAUGACUUCUGUCAUCGGCAAGAAUGGUUCGAUCACAAGACUCCAUGUGUCUCUCCAAAUCCUUAUCCUCGAUUCAGUUGGGUGACAAGGUCAAAUCAAUCACUGACCUACUGCUACGCUACUACUUCCUGGUGAAGUAAGCUCAAAAUGCCUAACAGUUCGCUACGUUCUAUUUCCAAUAAACAUCCUUCAUCGUGUAGCCUCCUCACAAAAUGCGAGUUACUUUUAAAUGAUAGUCUCAUCGACAUACUUACUAUUCCUUCUGCAUGGAAAAACAUAAUCCAAGUCUCACAUGUUGUGGUCGUGGAAGCUCGUUUGGUGGAAAAUAAAUCUGAUUGGUUACUAAAUACUAGAGCAUCGAGGCACUUGUGCUCAAAUCGAGAGUUGUUUCAUGAUUUCCAAAAUAUAGCCAACAACGAAUGUGUGUUCAUAGGUAAGUCUGCAAUUGCAAAGGUACUUGAAAAAUGGAAUAUUCUCUUAAAACUAACUUCUGGAAAAACUUUAUCCUUAAGUGAUGUUCUAGAUAUAGCUUCUUUACGUAGAAACAUAGUGUGUAGUAGUUUGUUGAAUCGGGCUGGGCUUAAAAUUGCACUAGAGGUUGGUAAGGUUAUUCUAAAAAAAUAAUGACUUUGUUGGUAAGAGAUAUCUAGCUGAUGAUCUUUUUGUUUUGAACAUCAUGAAGGUUGCUUCUAAGAUUAAUAAAAUUAGUUUGAGUUCUACUUAUAUCGUUGAAUCAAUUAAUUUUUAGUGUGGUAGAUUAAGUCAUGUAAAAAAAUCUUAAAAUACUAAAUCUCAAUAUUCAUCUAAAUCACAUGAAAAUGAUAAAUGUUUUGUAUGUGUAGAAGCCUUUGCAAUAAAAAAAAAAAAAGAAAAACCUUUAAAAUCUGUCACUACUAGAAGCACUUAAUCACUCCAAUUAAUUCAUAUUGAUUUAGCUAAUUUCAAAAACAUUUUAAAUUGUAAAUGAGGUAAAAAUUAUUAUAUCUCCUUUGUUGAUGAUUUUUCUAAAUGUACAAAAAUUUAGCUAAUUAAUCUUUUAAAUGUACAAAAAUUAGUAGUAUGUUUUUAAAUAUAAAAUAAAAGUAGAGAAUCAAUUAGAUAAGAAGAUUAAAAGUGUUACAUUUUGUCCCAAUUUUCUCUAUGCAAUGGAAUGAAAACGUGACUGUCUAGACAUACGACGCAAGAUUCUCCAUAUAGUAACGAAUGGAACGACUAGUAAGUAGAACUAAGAACAUUCGCAAGAGUUUAAACACAAAAUGUGUACAUAGAUAAAUUUCGAGAACUUCGUUGAUACUUCAAAAAAAAGUACAUUUAGGACUUGUACAACGAUCAAUAUAGCAAUUCUAGCAUCAAUCAAAAUGACACUCAAACUUUCCUCGCCUAGCUACUCUAUGUGAUGCGAAUAAGCAGUGGUCACUACCAAGAUGAUGCAAUAAGGAGAAACAGUAGGAGAUAAAGACUGCAAGUUUAACGUUGGAUGUUCUUCGUUACCUAAAGAGGAUAAAACAAAACAUUUGAAAGGUUAGACAAAACAUCUAGUGAGUGAGAUCUUUAACAAAUACCUUAAAUAACUAGAUUGGCCUUAAUGCGACAAAUCCAUUUUAAUUAAUCAUAUUGAAACAACCCCUUUUUAAAGUCUUUCACUAUAACUCAUGGAAAUCAUUUCUUUUCCGUUAUUUCAUCAUAAUUCAUAUCGUGUCGUAUACAUUAUUUGUAUGAUAUACUCAUUUCGUAGAAUCAUCAUGUAUGUUUAAUUACAUCUUUGUACCCCUUUCCUUAGCUCAAGCGUUUACUACACUCUUUUGCCAAGUUGCAUCUAUUCAAAGUAAUCUCAACACAUUUAGCAAGUUUCAUCAAUUCUACUAUACAUAACGAAUAUUCCAAUGCCAGAUCACAUAACAAGCAAAGGGCAUCCCAUGCCAGAUCAUACAAUACGUAUGAGGCAUCCUAUUCAAGAUUACAUAGCAUGAAUAGGGCAUUCUAUUCCAAAUUACACGGCAAGAAUAGAGCACCUUAUCCCAAAUCACACAGCAAGGAUAAGGCAUCUCAUAUCAGAUCAUACAGCAAGGAUAAAACAUCUCAUACCAGAUCACACAGUAGGCAUGAGGCAUUCUCAUCGCAUAGAGUACAAAAGAUCAUCUCGUUUUCAAAUUUACACUACAAGAAAUUGCAUUUUUAGUGGCGGACCAAAACAGUCACUAAAACACAAAAACACGUCACUAAACGUUUUAGGGAUGCAAAGUCAUUCGUCGUUAGAACUGUCAUUAAAUCCACGCUGCUAAAAGUUUUAGCGACGCAUAAAUUACGCGUCACAAAAGAUAUAUUUUUAGUGACGUUUCCACGUUAGCAAAAGCUUACUUUUAGUAACAUAUGUUGUCACUAUUUAUUUUUUAUAGUGAUGCAUUGCACUCGCCACUAAAGGUAAUGUUUUACUCACGAAUAAUGUUGUUGCUGAAGUUUAAUUUGGAACCGUUACAAACACCUUUUGCGACGUAUUGAAGUGUGCCACUAAAAUUUCCUACAAUUUUUUUUUAAAAAAAAAACCAAUGUGAUAACGUGUAGAAAUAUCCGUUAUUAUAGCCUCUUAUACAGAAUAACGAGGCCAAAAUGCAUAAGAAGAAGGCCAAAAUGCGUAGCUUAUAUUGCAAACAGUAAGUAUUCAUCAAUAUACUUUACAUAAGUGUUAUACCUGUUUUACGUGGUUUUCAGUGUUUAAACGCAGAGCUAUGAACAUAAGAAUUCAUCAAUAUACUUGUUUUACGUAAGUAUUCAUCAUUAUAGCCUCUUAUAUUGCAAAUACGUAAGUAUUCAUCAAUAUACUUUACAGAAACAUUAUACCUGUUUUACGUGGUUUUUAGUGUCUAAACGCAGGGCUAUGAACAAAAAAGAAGUUGGCAAAUUAUAGAAUCUUUCACAAGAAGACCAAAUCACAAAGUAAGAAGCAGCUUGCCAGACGACAAGAAUGGCAGUUUGAGAUGAUGUGACUUGCUACAGACAACUUUCAACGGUUGGCACUGACAUGUUCAAAGGAAUAGCAAUUUUCCGUUGAAAAUUACCUAUAAAAAGUCUCCUUCACCAAGAAAAGCACGCUUGAAUGAGUCAUUUUCAGAUAUCUAUUAUCUUUUAUGGUGCCUGAACGGGCCAAAGCCUAGAGAAUGAGAGGGAAAGGAAUAGCCUUUCUGCCAUCUGUAAAGAGUGGUUUUCUUCUUCUUCUCUGAUCAUACUGUAAAUGAGAGCAUAGAGUCUAAGUGGUGAAGGUUCUAUUUCCCAUUCCCCCUAACUUGUAUAUUCUUUCUCAUUCUUCUGUCUUUAAUUUGUGUAUUCUUUGUGUAAUAUUUAUAUUGUUCAUAUUGUAUAAUGGCUGAAGGCCUACAUUCUAUAUAUAUAUAUAUAUAUUACAUGUUUAUACAUUUUCAAUCCAUCAUGUCUCUAUUUUUCAUCAGUCAACGUGUUAUUGAUAGGUUAAGUUAGUGAUAAGUUCUUGAUAGAAAGUUUCACUUAUCAGUCUUAUCACGUUAGUUGAGCUAUACUCAUCGCUUGGCCAGUGUAAUUCGCCAACUACUCGAGAGGGUAAAUACCAAGGACAUGGCUAACGUGCGCAAGAAAGAGUUUUCUCUUCCUUUUUUAGAUAACUUUCAUCACUUGUAUCCCAAAAGAUGAAAAAGUAUGAACACCAGGGGCCAAGAGGCUGUUGUCCUUAAUCACGAAGUUUUAUACGUCUCAUAAGUGAACUCUUCUAGAUAUAUCUCACCUAAUCACCCUUAGUCAUAUGGAUCCCGAAAGGUGACCAUGUAUGGCGUUUAAAGACUUUGAGAGGAUCACGUAUUAAUCAUAAAAUGGUUGAGUAAGUUGUAUCACAUGAAGGCUAUUGCAUUGCUUAAUCAUAUUAUAAUGCAUAGACAUUCUUUCACUCUUUCUCUCAUACAAGUUAGUUCACAUAUUUAUCUCGCAUCCAUUUCCACCCCUUUAUAGAUUCUCUAGGCGUAUUUAAGUAGUGUUAUUUUUAGUAUUAUUCUUUUAUAUGUUAAUUAUUUAUUAUUUUAUACCGCCUAAUUGAGAAGUAGAUUCUAGAACUAAGAUUUGAUAUCAAUUCCUUGUGUUUGACUCUGGAUCACCAAGAUAAACCUAUUACUUCGCUUAUAUUUGAGCAAGCAGUAGGAAAACUUGUACUCAACGAGGACUCAAUAAUUAUGCGAUGAAGAGGUAUAUAGUGACUACUUUGUAUACAGUGAUCAUGACCAAUAACUUAUCGCAUAGAACUAAUUGCGUACUUAGGUAGUACUGAGCCCCCGAAUGGAACUGCGAAGAAGGGCAACUCCAUCCGUUGUUACGAAGAGAGUGAUCACAAACACUCUAUACGAACCACAAUGCUUUUAAAAUUAUUUUAUUAUAUAAAAAUAAUAUCUAAUUUAUUAUAUAAACCUAUUAUAAAAUAUCAAAUAUAAUUAUAUUGCAUCUAUGUUGCAGUCCAACAAUUAUCACAUCUCAUAUACUCUCCUCACACCGUUUCAACAAUAAGUCCAAUUCAUUUAUAAGUUAUAUGCAUUUUAAGGAUUUGAAAACAUAAGAGAAAUCAUAAAGAUUAUGGACUUGAUAGAAAUGGAUUUAAGGAUUUAAAUACGUUUUAGAAAUCUUUUUUAUUUUGGAAACAUUUAUAAGAAAAAUCACUCACUGUUACAAUCAAUUUGCUCUUCCUCCUAACUUCCUCGGUCAAGAGACUCCUUGCACAUCUUGAAAUCCUUGUUGAAAAUAACUUCAUUCUGUUUCUUUGAAAUCGUGAAUACUUCCUCGAUCCUUUCUUAAACAAUAUCAGGGUAUAAGAAACUUCAAAUUAACCUGGAUUUCUUCUAUUUAUAGGUCUCCCUUAAUGAAUUUUUUCAUAACGAAAUUAUUACCCUUAUCGGCUGUGAGAAGUGACCCAAUCUCAAAAUGUCACAUGUUCCUAUCCAACCCUUAUCCUAAACUUUGAUUGGGCGACAGGGUCCAAUCAAUUACCAAUCUAUUGACAUCAAGGUCGCAUCAUUGUUUCUCGAUGAAGUAGCUCAGCUUGCACUGUUGUUCAUCAUGUAACCUUUUUUACGUAAAGACCUUCCAUUGCCUACUCUUACGUAAAACGUGUUUUGCCAACAUAAGUUUUUUUGCACAAUAUCCAUACCGUAGGGCCUUCAUUGGGUUGGUGGUACGUGAUCACAACCUUACAAAAAGAUUAAGGUCAGAUAAAGUUGGAGAAGAUAGAGAAAACUUUCUUAAAGAAUUUUGUGAGUUACACCUUAUUCUUCAAAACAAAAUGGUAUAACAUAACAUAAAAUAAAAUUAUUAAGAAAAUGAUGAAUGUUAUGCUUUUAAGUUUUGGAUUAUCUAACAACAUACGAGGUAAACAUGCACAGUCUACCUAUUUUAUUCUUAAAAGAGUUCCUCACAAAAGACUGGAAAAAACACCAUAGCAUUGAUCCUUCGCACCUUUCAGUCGUUUGGAGGCUCUUUGAAUUGGAAGAGCAAAGAAUAUUGCGAAAAAGAAGGUUACACACCUAAUCUCAACUACAUGAGAGAGUGUAAGGGUGUUUAGCUAAGGUAGUAAACCCUGUAUUCAAGAAAUCUAUGAUAGGAUAUAAAAUUUUUUACUGUGUUUAUCGAUUGUGCUCAAAACAGUGUUGCUUCUAGAUUUAUAUGCUUGAAUGAUAAAUUCAUACGUGAAUAUGGAGAUGUUGAACUCUUUGAGCACAUUUUUCCUUUUAAAAAGGGAAAAUUUGAAUCUUUUAGAAUGUCUAACCAUGAAAAUGUAUGCAUUUGGCCCAUUACGUACUUUGUCUAGUAGUAUACAUAAAGCUGAAGAUGUUAGUACUUCUUAAAAAAAAAGAAUGAAAUAAAACCUAGAAAAAGUAAGAGACGGAGAAUUGAGAAAAAAAUUUGUAUGGGUUUUUCUACUACCUUUUUAGUUGAAAGGCCAAAUGAAUUGACUAUCAGUUUGCAGGUAUGUGUCUAAUAGAUGAGGAUCCUAAAACCUAUCAAGAGGCGUUAGGCUUUCUAGACUCAAGUUUUUGGAAGGAAGCAAUUAAGAGUGGAUUAGAUUCACUUACCAUGAAUCAAACUUGGGAGUUGGUAGAUCUUCCUAAAGAUAGUAAAUCUAUAAGAUGCAAAUGGAUCUUUACAAAAAAAACAAUACAUGACAGAUUGAUUUGAAAGGUACAAAGCUAGGUUAGUAGUAGUAGGAUACAUUAAAAAAAUAAGUUAUUGAUUACUUUUGUAGGUCUAGAAAAUAAAGUGUGCAAGCUUAAAAAAUCUUUUUAUGAUAUAAAAAAAACUCCCAAAUAAUGAAUGAAAAGUUUAAUAAAACUCUAGUAAACAAUGUGAAACGAAUUGAAGAGUGAAUCAAGAAAUCAUAAUUGAAGUAAAUGAAAAAGUUGAAGAGAUGAAAUGCUUGAAAGUUGAAGAGUUCCUUGAACAUCCCAAAAGUCAUAAAAUUAAAAGGAAUUAUGCAUUUGUGUGUUUUCAUUUAUUACGGUAGUUGAAAAGGUAUAAAAUUAAAUGUUGUGACCUUUCAUUUAAUAUUUUAAUUAGCAUAAAUAGGUGAUAGAACUAAGUCAUGCACAGCGGAAAAAGAAUCGAAUUUCUACCCUAAUUGCCACAAUUAACAUAUAACCAUAAACUAAUCAAAUUAGGGUUUUAAGAAAUAUUACCUUUGAAGCUUUCAAAAGGUUCGAUAUCUUCUUACCAAUGCUAGCCGAGACCACCACUAGUACUCAACUGCUAUCCUCUAGACAAAGAACCGGGUUGUGGGACCCAAUUUUGGUGUAGAAAGUAAUGGAGAUAAAAAUGGGAUUGGAAGGUUUCUUUUUUCUUUUGUUGAGAUUAUGAAAAUGAUCAAAGAGGCAAAAGUCUUUUCAACAUUUGAAAACACCUCUAUUUAUAACCUAAUUACAUGCAAAAAUGCAUGAAAUUCAUUUGCCAAAUCUCAACACCUAAUGUUCCACUAACAAUUAGUGGAACUUAGUGGGCUAGGUGUCUAUAUCUCAUAUAGCCACAUAUCCCACUAAGAGUUAGUGGGAUUAUCCAACAAAAUGUUGGAUUUUCCCACUAACUUAGUCCAAGGGUAAAAUGGUCAUUAGAUAUUUCUAGUAGUCAAAAGUCAAACUUUGACUUUUCUAAGUCAAAAGUCAAUAUUUUGACUUUUUACCAUUUUGUCCGUCUUGACUAAUUCCAACCUCCCGAGCAUGAAUCCGCAUUCAUUUUUCCAAAAUUCAAAUCACAUUUGAAUAUAAGGCCGGUCAAAGUUUGACUUUUCAAAGUCAAAAGUCAACAUUUUGACUUUUUACUAUUUUUGACCAAUUCCGAGCUUCUUAGUAUGAAUCCGCAUUCAUACUUAUAGUAUGUAAAACAUAAAGCUCUAUUUCUAAUUAGAAGACCGACGACUAUAUCACUGUAUAUGUCGGUUUCCCUUUCUUCUCCCAAUUCGAACAAUUCGACUUAUUUCAUAAAUUCGACUUAUUUCAUACACUGUUCUAAAGUUUAAUCCAUAUGAGCUAGCAGAGGAACCUAAUGGACCUAUAGAUCAUGGGCUCCAACGAUUCAAGGUUAACUAGCUAAACUCUUUUAAACCGAGUUAAUCAACAUUCGUUAACUAACGGGUCAUUCCACUAAAGUCCCGUAGUUGCACUCCCCUCACUAUAGAUAUAUUUGUGUCCAUUUGAUAAAACCAUAAUCAGUAAGUUAAUCCUUCACAGGUUGCUCGUAACCUUGGCUGGGUCAAAAUACCGUUUUACCCCCAAGAUUACAUCUUGCUCCUUAAGUCCCACUAAUCCACUAUUGAACAAUUGGUUUAAGGUUCAACCUAUAAACUUAAUCCCUCUCGGGCCAAUGAGAGGGUGGGGCCCCUUGUUCAAGACUUGGAUUCAGUGCUUAAGAGAAGCAACCUAUCUACUAACCCUAAAGCGGGUAGGAGUGAAUUCCAUCUUGUACCCUAUGUUCCCAGCUAUCCACCCGAUCUUACCCCUGAAAUGGGAGGCUUAUUGGGCCAACGCUGAUGAGCUGCCCUCACCUAUGUAGAUCUAAGGAUAAUCUCGUGUGAACAGGAGUUCAUAGUUAACUCAGGAUUAAGACUAAGUUACCUAGGUCAUCAAUAAUUGAGAUAGUCAGUUUUAAACAGUAAACGGUGUUAUAACGUAAAAAAGACUAAUUCAUGGUUCAGUCUUAUGUAAACAUUUUACAUAGGAUGCCCCCACUUUCAUGUCUCUACAUGAACGAUUAGGAUCACCUCGUUUGUACAACAAAGUGGGCCGCAUCCAUAGUUUCUCUAAAUAAGGCGCCCAACCUUUAUUUCAUAUACUAUAGACUAUUUAGGCUAUAUACUCGAACUUGAUCCACGUUUAUGUUUACACAUAAAGUUCAAGUUUAUUCAAAAAUAGCCUUGGAACUUGAUUUAUUGGAUUUAAGAUUAUAAUAUUUAAUUUCUCAAUAAACAACUUUAUUGAACAGAAUAUGAUUUACAAACUACGAGUUUUAGGACAAAAAAUUCCAACAAUAGGGUUAUAAUUUCCACAUUUAAAAAAAAAUUGGAUGAAUGAAAUCUGAAAAAUUCUAAAAUGUAAAAUUUUGUUCUUGUGUGCUCUUGUGAUAGAAUGCCCGAAUAUUUGGAGCAUUCAAGUGAGAAUUGAUCUGUAUUGCUUGUGGAGUGCUUUCAAGAUUGAGGGUCGAUGGGAGUUUCUAACUUUGUCAGAUUCUUGGUUCGCUAGAUCAUCUAAGUAACUUGAAUCUCUAUCUUAGGGGUUGAAAUUAAAUUGGUUUUGGAGCUGUUGGGGUUAUGUUCUUUGAGUCUUGUAGUUUAACAUGGUUCUUAGAUCCAAUGCCAGAGGUUUCGUAUCACAAUGAUUUCAAAGUGAAUUUCUCUUAUUCUUACGAUUACACAAAAUUGUUUGGAGCAGAGUGUGUGAUUAUUUGUUUAUAUGCUGACAUGUUAUUGUCAUCACACUUUGAAAUGAAAGAUUUAGUAAAAGUUGACAUAAUUCUUGGUGAAAAAUAAGAAAGAGUGAGAAUGGAUUCUCUUUUUGUCAAUCACACUACAUAGAAGAACUUUUAAAGAAAUUUGAUAGCUUCGAUGACACUCCUGCUAGAACACCUUAUGAUGCAAGUAUAAGCCUUAAGAAAAAUAAAAGAAUAGUGUUUCUCAAUUUGAAUAAGCAAAGAUCAUAGAGAGUGUCAUGUUUUUAAUGAGUUACACAAGACCUGAUAUAACAUAUGUUGUGAGUAGAUUGAGAUACACACAUAAUUCUGAUAAGGAUCAAUGGAUUGCACUCCAUCGUGUGUUAAGGUACCUUAAGGGCAAAGUAGAUCAUUGUUUGCAUUCUAACAAAUUUCUUAUUGUUUUAGAAGGCUAUAGGGAUGCAAAUUGGAUAAUAGAUAACGACGAAGUAAGCUUCACUAGUGGAAAUGUGUUCUUACUAGGAGGGGGAGCCAUAUCAUGGAAGUUUUCAAAAAAGACUAUUAGAGCUAGAUCCACUAUGGAAUCAGAGGUUAUCACUCUAUAAUUAGCAGGACAAGAGAGGUUGAAUGACUUAGAAGCCUAUUGAGGGAUGUACCAUUGUGAGGUGCAUCAGUACUAGUCUUGUUACAUUGUGACUCACAAGUAGCCAUUGGAUUUACCAAAAAUAGUGUAUAUAAUGGCAAAAGGAGACAUACGUCUUAAAUAUGGAGCUUUAAAACAGUUGGUGAAAGGAGGAAUUAUCUCCUUGUAAUUUGUGAGGUCAGAAAGAAACUUAGCGGAUUCUCUAACCAAAGGUCUAAUAAGAAAAAUAUUUCAAAAAGCCUCAUUAAGCAUGAUACUCAAACUCAUGAAAAACUCCAUAGCCCAUAGCUCUUUCUUUGGGUAGCUCUAGUAUAGACUUGAUGGAGGUAACCAAAACCAUAAAGGUCUAUAGCCCUUCUUUGGGUGGUUUUGGUGUGAACUUGAUGGACUAUGUCACACCCUGCUUUGCAUACAAACAAAAAAAAAAUGUGCCAUGCGGGAAGCGACGUGAUUUAGAUUAAACAUUUUUAAACUUGGACUUAUCACCUAGUUCACUCAAGUAACAUGACACUAUAAAACUUAACCAUUACGCGAUAAGAAACAUCAUAACGCUGUAGAGAGUACAACAAACAACUUCUUUUAUUAGAUUUAACCAUGCACCAUACAACAUUAUACAUAUAUCCUUGAUCAAAAUUACAACAGCUUAAACUAAACAUCUUCCUCGACUUCUAACUUCAAACGCCUUGCUAGCUCAUCCUACCUUCUUAGCCUAGCCUUAACACUUGAACACAUGGGAAGGAAAUUUUUAAAAAUAAGUCAAAAGACUUAGUGAGAUUUUAAGAAAAAUCCUUUGAAAAUACAUUUCAAAGACAAAAACGUUUCAGUUCAAUUAGGCUUAUCACCUCAUUUCAUAAUAUUCAAACACAUAACACAUAUUAGCCUUGUAUCUUUCUCGUCGAGACCAUGAACCAUUCUCAAUGCCAAGACUCAUCGCCUUGUGUUUAGACUACUCUGAUGGUCUUUUCAUCAGUAGCAUCCAGGAAUCCCUUGGUUUAUUCCUCGUUGUUCAGGCCGCCAAACAUAAUACACAUCUUUUAUGCAUUGACUAGCUUCACUCCACCAUGCAUACCUUUUCUACAUGGUUGCCUAUACCCUAUUGUUCAUAUAACAGUUAGCUCAUUGAUAGGAAUAAGACUAAUAUUUUGAACACAAUCUCACAUCCAUUUAAACAACACAACUUUCUUUAAACAUAAGCUUUCAUUUGAAAAUAUUCAUGCAUAAAACACCAUUACAAUCCAACAUGAUGUUUAAAAAAAAAGCUUUAAAGUGCAAAACACAUUUCAAAGUCACUCACAAAAAUUUGAUUUUCCUUCAACUUAAAACGCCUAACUUUAGCUGCAGCUCUUCCUUUUUUCUUAGAAUUUCCCUUAACAACUUCAUCACUUUGAAAAAUCUUCAGAAAAACUAACACCCUUAUAAAUCCUUUUCAGUUUUAUUUAUACUAAUCUUAAACGUGAUUAGUCAUCCUUAAGCUUCUUUUAAAAUUGUCAGCUCUUACUUAUAACUUUACAUGUGUAAGAUUAGUAUUUUACUUAAUCAUGCUUAACCCUUAAUCUUACAUGUAAAUUUUUGUCCAAUCAAGAUUAGGCAUCCCGCUUGGUUUCAUUUCGGGUGGUACUUUCAAAAUGCAUAAUAGUCCUUAAACGCCUAACGUCUUCUUGUCUCACCUCGUCCUAACAUAGACAUCAAAAUGCAAGCUUCUUCUCAUAACGCUUAUUCAACACUUAGUCAAAAUUUUGACCCUUAUGUUCCAAACAAAGGUCUCACAGACUAGUUAAAUUUUCAUAGUUCAAUUUUGAGUGGUUUGCCUUUGACAAACUUAAUGAAGUUGGUCUAAGUAUGGACCACGUGAAUAGUCUUCAUAGCUUAGUUGUGAGUGGUCUGCUACGAUAAACUUGAUGAAGCUAUAAACAUGAAUGUGAAAGUGGGGCCGUCUUGUACGAAAGAGUUAUUUUUCAGAGUUUUCACGGUAACCAGAGUUUUAUGUGCACGAUCAUAAAUAACACUUUAUAUCACGAAAUCAAGAAAAUUUAAGAAGUAAAAACGUGUUGUAUGGUCCCAACCUCAGUUAGUUAAGAAGUAAAAACGUGUUGUAUGGUCCCAACCUCAGUUAGGGAAAGUUCAAGAGGCAAAAACUCACUCUCACUAAUAAAGUUGUUGCACCAAUUCAAAUCAAAAUAUACCGAUACUUGCGUUUAUCUUCUAAUAGCUCAUGAAUUCUUUUAGAGUUUUCUUUUUCCUCUUUAUUUUUCUUCUUACCAUACCAGCCAUUCGUGGAGGAUGGUUGAAAAUGAGUUUGAGCUUAAGAUCCAUAACAAAAUGAAAAAGUUGUUUUUUGAAAGAAAGGAGGUAAUCGUCCCACAUUGGAAGAUUUGUGUUACUACACACUUGCUAAACAUAGGAUUUCCAAUGUUGGACAAAAUUCAUAUUUCACAAACCACUUUUCAUUACAACUUUAGAUUUCACAAACAGAACAGUCAUACCAAGUAAUAAUUUUGGCCGAUCAAUUUCUAUUCCAUAUAUCUUCAAGUUCUUAAUAGUUUAAUCAUUAUACUUUCAACCAUUGUCAAUUUUUAUUUUCUAACUACCUAAUAAUUUUGAUUUUAUUAAAAACUACCUAAUAAUUAUAUAGGUUAUAACCAAGUUUGGUUCUUAAUAAGGUUAAUUAUAGUCUGUACACAAGUUGGUUCCUAAUAAGGUUUAUUAAUAUAAAGUAUAAGAAAUUUUAUUCAAGUCUGUAUGAACAGUUUGGACUACCACUUUCACCAAACACAAAAAAAAAUCUUCAAAGGACAUUGAAAUCCUUUGAUCAAAUUUUUUUAGUGCUCCAGAUUAGUGGCAGUAUGAACACAAUGGACCUGUAACUUGGAUCCUCUUCAAUUUAACAAUCAGUAGGUAUUGUAAAUAAAAUAAUCAAAAUAGCACAGUCAAAAUCGAAUGAACGAAUUGGUAAAUAUUAUAUAGCUAAAGUAUAUUGAAACAAACAAUAAUACAUAAUCAAUGGGCAAUGGGCAAUGGGCAAUCUUAGGAUUGCGAAUUCUAAACCAACAAUAGGCACUACAAAUAUCAAUGAUGCUACAACGAAUAGAAGUUUUGAAUACUCUCCAGCAAUAGCUGCAAUUGCAGACUGGAUUCAAGAGCUUCUAAACCAAUUUACAAUGAUACAUAGGAAUAGCCAACACACAAAGUGAAUACAGUGGUGAUAUUCUGAUAUUACCCCACAGAAAUUGGUUAUUUGUUUGUGAGAAGCUGAAAGACAAUGGAGGAAGGAUUCAGAAAGGGCUAACCAUUCGUGCCAAUCUUAUCAAUACCUCUGGAACAAGGCGUGGUUUUGGUGGCGCCAUAGAAUCCUUUGCAAGAGCUUCCUCGUCUCCAGCAUGUAAUAUGGCAACUAUUUGAUCAAAAAGUUCAUAAUUGCCUCCACGAAACGGAUCCUGAAAAAAGAUGACAAGAAGCUUCACAAAAUGACUAUGUAGAAAGAUGCAAGAAGGAAUCUCUCAUCUUCCCAAGUACAACACGAAACGAAGCUAACAAUCAACUUUUUUUUUUCUCUUCCAAUAUAAUGGUUAAGUUCCUCUCCUUUUUGUAAGGGUAUUUAUACAGGUAUACACACUUUUAGUUAAAUAUAUCAAAUCAGUCACGAGUUUGUUAAAGGACUUGUAGAAAAUAAAAACAGGCAGAUAAAAAAGAUAAACCACCUUUUUUAUCCCUUCUCUUCCUAAAUUUUUAAUGACAAUUUUGUGAAAGUCAAAAAACCUAAAAAUGUAAAUAAUGUAUUGCUCUGGUCGAUCUUCCUCCAUAGCAUAAAUACAGUGGAUAAAUUUUAGAGAAAAUGUACGCAUGAGAAAAUAAUUAUCUUUUCCCUCAAAGAAGUUUGUGGGUGUGUGCACAUGUCAAACUUACGCUGAGUCACUCCUGUAGGAGGGUUAUAAAGUUCAAAUGAGAGUAACCAAAAGACAACAUCAGAAGCUACAAUAAGGCCUUGAGGUCAGCUUACUUGAAGGAACAAAUCUGUGUGAGUUUUUCCCUCAUAGAGAAAUAAGUCAGCUUGUGCCCCUACUUUUCGAAGUGUCUCCACGAAAGUUUCACUGAAAAUUUGGAAUUAGCAUCUGAAAGUUAAAAGGACAUAGAACUUAUUCAUCCGACGACCAUGAGAAUAUGAUUCUAUUUUUUGAUGCUUGAAAUUGGGCAUAAUCGGAUUCCUUUACUUUUAUUGGUUUCAUACCUAUGCAUAAUUUAUAUACUGAGCAGGAGCUGAUUAGCAAGCAUCUAUUAUAAGAUUCCAGAAAAGCUAUGAGAUCUUAAUAAAUAGAAGACCGAACAUACUUUUUUCCCUUUCUGUUCCAAUUACACACUUUACACCGCCAAAAAUAUUUUUUUUCACAUAAUCACCCAUUUAUACACAAUUAAAGGUUACAACACUUCACCAUUCCAAAAAUUAAAGAUAAUAGGUCAUUUUACAUAUUUUAUUAGGGUUCAUCUGAUAUCAAUUCAAUAAGAGAAAUACACUAACCUGGCAUCAAAUGGGAUUGAAUAAUCACCCGUGCCAUGGAAAAGAACAAAAGGAGGUAAACUGGAAACAACAUCACUAACACUAGGAUCUUGGAUUCUUAUUUCUGGGGAAAACUGGGACAAAGAUUCUUCACCUUCCAUUAUGCUACAGAGAAUAAAAGUGGCUCAAAUUGUGAAAAGGAAUAAGUUGACAUAAACUAGUCAGUUAAUGAAGAGAAAAUAGACAUUUAGAACCUACCUCAAAAAGACAGAACGAUAUAGACCCCUACUAUCAAAGUGAUCGACUAGUUUCCACAAGUUAUACCUGUUCACAGAAUUCAGAAAAGAAAACUUGAGUACAGGGUCCUCAUUCAGAAGGAAAAUUGCACAAUGAUCAAUAACUGGGACUUUAUAAAGUAAUGAAAUAAAAAUUGAAAGAGCAAUGGUCAACUAAGGGUGUUUCUACUACUUUCCAGCAAGACUACAUUUUGACUAAUAAACUGUUGUGAAUUCAGUCCUCAAAUAUAUAGGCUUCAGCUUUUCAAAUCUAUAGAAUGCACGGUGUUCCCCUUGUCCCCUCAUAUAGAUAAUAGAAUUUGAGAGGUGUUACAAGAUUUAUAAACCAUUGGCAUGAAAAAGGAUCAACCACCUGGAGGCCUUUCAGUUUAUAUCAUAACGUCCCUUGGGCUAUACUUUGAAAGGAAAGUAAAAGAUUUUACCCAGCCAAGAGCCAAUACAAAAAAUGAUUAUAGAAUCUAUUGAAUGGGAUGAAUUUGUUGUUAAAGCCCCAGAGAUGAGAAGUUGAGAGGUUACACAACAACCCGCCAUUUUUAUUGCAAAAAGUCCAGAAAAAAUAUUGACGUGUAUAGCUCAAAUUCUUCUCAUCCUAUUCUAUUCUAUUCUGACUGGCACCUUCUGAAGCACAUACAAAAUGUACUUCAUCUAAGUGGUCUUUAUAAAAGAAGAAAAAGUUUAGGAUUGGCGACAAAGCAUGCGAUGUCCAAUCAUAGACAAACCAAAGAGGCUUGGAAUUAUUGAUCAUAUAAUUUCAUGGGAAUUCCUUAAAUGCCACAAGAAAGACGUAGAAAAUUACCCUCCAGAUAAACCAAAAUAAGCUUUUAUUUGGGAGACACUCCAAUCUACACUCUCUCCUUUUCUAGCUUCUUUGAUUGCUUGAUCCAAGAGGGCACAAACGGAAAUAUGUGCACCAGCUGAUUGUCCCAUCAGAAAGAUUCUAUUAAGAUGGGGCAAAAUAAAAUAAUAAGGUGGUGAGCAUAUGAUGAAGGAUGAAAAAAAUGAAGAAAUCAUUCAGUCACCUGUCCAGAUCUCCUCCAUAGUCUGCUAUAUUCUUGCAUACAAAUGAAAUCCCUUGAGAAACAUCUUUCACCAUGUCACUGAUUGUGCCCUGAGGAAAGUUCCUGCAAAGUACAGGGUUAUGAGAUUAAGAUAGAAAAUCAAGACACGGUCAUAACAAGGACAUGUUUAUUAAAAUAGCACUCUUCAAGAAACUACUAUUUCUGUGUCAGAGAGAAAUUUGAAGUUUCCUUAUGCAUUUAUAGAAACAAGUUUCCUGUAUUUAACUCUCAAAGUUUAUUACGUCAGCUAAUUAUGUUUAACAAUCAUUUGACACAUACCUAAGAAGUUUCAAACUUAUAUUAACUCCAACAACUAGAUUUGACAAUAUCCAUUGUACCAAUAAAUAGAGCCCAUGUCCAAGAAACUACUAGUAUUAUCUGUACUAAUAGAUUUGUCAGAGAAAGUGUCCAACAUGUUGGACACAGAUACAUCACCCAAACUAAAGGUUUAACUUCUCUUAGGUUAACGCAUGCCAUUCAGUCAAGUUUCUUGCACCCAUCAUUCUUCAUUCAAAUAAGUCAAACAGAGAACCAUAUAAACCACCAGUAUCCCCCCUGCCCCACAGAAGAAAAUAAUAAUAACAAUAAUGAAGAAAGGAAGAAUGAGAAGAGUUUAAAAAGUUCAUCGAAGUAAUGCUUGAACAUAAUGCAUUACCUAUAGUCAAUUGAGGCUACAAUGACGUCUCUCUCUGCCAACUGCAGUCCUAAAAGUGCUCCCCAUGCUUUAUUCCUAAAUCAUUAACAAAUAUUAAUAUUGUAUUUCCAGAAUGGGAAACUAAGACGCAAAAAAGCUUCCAUGAAGAUAAUUAAACAAAUCAAUUUGCUAUUUUGGUACAUGUCCUUCCAAAAAAAAAGAGGUAGUUUGGCCAUUUUAGUUUUUUCAUAAUUCAUAAGGUUUCCCGAGGAUGUAAGUUUGUCAUUCCCCAGACCCAAAUGUUUACAAAAAGAUAGAAAAAGAUAUAAUUAUUAUGUGGUUAUUGCAGCUAUAGCCCUCCUGAAGAGAACUUAGAAAGGAAUAUAAUUUUUUAGUACCCUGACUAGUUAUCUUCAAGAUUCUCGAUUUUUUUUCCUUCCUAUCCUCCAUUUGGAUUACCCAAAGAGCUUUCGAAAUCAUCCUUCUUUAAUUAAGGACAACAAAAAAACCAGUGUACAGAAAAGUCUAAAGAAUAAAACAUGUAGUGUAUUGUAGUAAUAAAAUUGUAUAGCUUAGAAGAAGAGCAUCUGUAAGACCUGAACGAAGCCAAUGCCAAAAAUCAUUUUAGGAUGGACAUGCAUAAUCGUCUACAGUCUACACUUACCCAAUAAUCCAAGCUCCACCGCUAACGAAUAUCACAACUGGUUUCUUUUUAUCAGUAUUUGUAGGUAGAUACAAAUCCAAGCUGAAACAUCAUCCAAAAGAAGGAUAGAAAAAAAGUCAUGAAUUGGAUAAUGGUUGACGUAGAAAAAGGCAGACUUAACAAUUACCUGUUGUAGAACACAUACCUAUUUCUCGGUUGAGUUCCAUAAAUAAUAUCUCUCCGAACCUGACUUGAGAAGUAAUAGUCAUACAUAACUGUUGUAAACAAAAGGUAAUCAGAUACGUGAAUUAAUCCAGGACAUGCAAAUGUUUCCAAUAAUAACAUUUCAGUCAAAUUUCUGUAAGUCGAGAUGGCAACAUUAAUAUGAGGGGAUGAUAUUUUCUUUCUUUAGACUGUACUAAAAUGUUGAAAUGAUGGCCAAAAUUACAGGUUGUGUGAUCACAUUGAAUUUCUGUAAGUCGAGAUGGCAACAUCAAUGAAUUUAUUAUCAGAGAAAUUCAUGGAUACUUAAGUUUCAAAUAGCUGAUUAACUUAUAUUUUUCCAACAAUUUUUCUAUUAUAAUAAUUAUCUUGGAUUUCGUUCAUCCUCUCAUUUCUCUAUCUACAUGUAUCUCCCUUUAUCCUCCUUCAUCUUUUAGUUUUUUUAUUAUUAUUUUUUACAUCUAAUUUAAACAACUAUGGUUUUCAUUUUCUUUUUCCUUCAAAAGUCAAAACUUUCAUUGAUAUUCAGAAAACUCUGGACUUAGUACUUCUAUCUAGAUUGAUGUUGAAUUCACUGAACAAUUUCUUGUAAACAUGAUAUCCACUAUCCAGCCAGAGGGCUGCGAUGAUCGUGAGAGUAUCCAAACUCAGAAAACUGUCCAAGUUUAACGUGAUUUCAAUAUAGUUCACUAUACCUUACUCAUUAAAGACAAAGUGUAUCUACCCUUGCACCUGAGUUAAAAUCUUUAUCUUCACCAGAAACUGAGUGAAUCAAGAAUAUUUGGUACAAAAUAAAGUGGAUAAUUCUCAUCCAUUGACACAUAAGAGGCAGAGACGCUGUUUUGAGUAGAGUAUUGAUGUUAGAAACAUGAUUGUAUAGCCUAUCAUCUGUUAUGGAUUGACAUUGGCCCUAGAAGAUUAUUGGUGCAGAGACCCCCUUUGUCUAACAGAGAACAGAGAAUUAUUAAGUGAUCAAUUUGUGCAGCUACCAGUUGAGUGUCCUUUUUCAUUAUUUUUUUUAGCUUCUAAACACGGUUGAAACUUAUAAAGAGUACAUAAAUUAGAACAUGAACCUCUCAUUUCCCAUUGAAAUGCCAUGUAAGGAAAAAUAAAGAACAGGGGAUGUUAUGAAUCAACCAGCAUGAGAUUGAUCUAGUCAUGGAAGGGCUAAGGAUUAUGAGAAGUAACUCUAACCACCAUUUUUUUACAAAAUAUUUACAUACAACAAGCUUCAUUGGAUUAAAUAUCAUAAAACUUGACCAUUGGUCGAGUGAGUUUACUCAAAGUACAAAAAUGAUGGCUCAUAAGAACGAGAUUGAUAGCUAGAAGGUGUUAUUCAGAAAAUAGUAAGGAAGGACGUCAAAGAGGAAAUGUGGCCUUCACCAAUUUUAUAGGCUACGGAAGAAAGCGCAUGACUAAGUUGACCAGAGGCUUCUAUUGGUGCUUUAAUUUGUAUUCCCCACACGCAAUUUUAUAUUAAAGAUAACGAAAUUCCAAUAAGAUUUUACAGGACAAAAAAGCAAAAGACACUUAUGCAAUAAGUAUGUUAAAAAAAAUACCUUGAAGAAAACCGGGCAUAAGAAGGAUGGCAUACACUGCAAGUGCAGUUAAUCGUACGACCCACCGGUACCCUACCCUGAACGAAAAGAAGGGAUCAUGAUACAGAGAGAGAGAGAGAGAGGAAGAGCCCAUUGAAAAAGCAAAACUAUAUUCAUUCCGUAAAGAUUUCAUGAUUAAUUUAAAAUUUUACCGAUCCUCCUGUUCGAAGAAAAGAAAUUAAUACAAUAAGAGAUUUCAUGAUUGAAGUGAUCCCCAGGAGAAGAAAGCAUGAAACUAUAAGCUAUGAUAUAAGAUCCUUUCCAUUAUAGAAAGAAAAUUUGGCAUCCUGUUAGGUAUUUGCAAAUUCUAAUUACAGGAAGAACCCGCCGCAAAUUAAGGAGAUAAUCCAACUCAUAGUCAGAACAGAGAGAUAGAGGGAUCGAAGUUACAUUCACCACUUAAUCAGAACAUUCAGGCUUUCAAGUAAUGGACAAAAAGAGAUAGAGAGCAGAGAGAAU
Molecule: long non-coding RNA, 55679 nt
Filed under: Cucumis sativus (cucumber)
Lineage: Eukaryota; Viridiplantae; Streptophyta; Magnoliopsida; Cucurbitales; Cucurbitaceae
Description: long non-coding RNA (CSAT_LNC001023)
Source: RNAcentral